UGCACCUCUAAUGUCGAUUUUUGGAUUAUCUCCUAUCAUGUAUAGGGUUUUGAAACAACGAAUUCCAGAGUUUGUAGUAUUCUCCACAUCUAGGUUGCUUAACAAAGAUGGCACAAGAUUCCUUAGCAUUGUCUCAGCAUUUCCAUAGACAAAUGGAUUUGGCUUCCCAUAUGAUGUAUACGCCAGCGGAAUGUGAUGUAUUCUGCAGGACAGGGACAAGCAAACAAUGGGCAACAUAAAAUUGAAGAUUAAUGCAUGUCGCUAUGCUGCAUUGAGGCAAAUUAGGCCUACACAAGGAUCUUAUAGGCCAAUCUUUAAUUUUUUGUGGAGAACAGUAUAUCAAACUCCAUGCAGAACUAACCAUUGAGAAGCAGAAACCUCCUAUUACCUGUUAUAGAUUGCUUCUAAUGCAAUCCUGAAAGCUCCCAUACCCAGACGUUCAGCAGGAAAAGUAGCCUGCCUUUACACUUUGUCAGCUAGUCAUCAGCCAGUCUUUAGUUCCACUAAGGUUUCAAAAACUCAAGAUUGCAACUCACAUCACAAAUGGCAUAGCAUACCUGGUAUUCUAGGUCAUCAUUUGCAAAAAACAGGUGUGGUUGCUUUCCAGUCUCCUUUCCAGGAAGCCCUCCAGUUCUCAAUAUGUCACAGAGCACCUAAACCCAAACUUGAGUAUCACAGAAUUAUUUUAAAGUACAGAGACAGAUAGACAGAUGAUGACACUCCAUUUUAUCACUUCUUUCAAACUAUAUUGCAGCAUCCACUAGACUUCUAAAAAGAUGACAACUAAAGUUGCAGAGUAGUUACUGAACAAACAAAACAAAGCCUAGUGUCUUUUGAUAAUCAGUUCAAAGAUUUAGAACUCGCGUGACUAAAAGACCAGUAUGGACUCAACAGCAGAAUUAGAUAAUCUAGGAAAGGACAAGAUCCAUUGGAGUGGUCACAACCUGAAUAUCUCUGCUCCAAUCAACAGAAUCACUGACUACAAAUGCUGCCUGAACUCUCUGUGUUUGUACCACAAUUUUUCUCUGCGCCAUCUCAUUGGAAGUGCUAUUCUGGUCAAUGUCUGGCUUAGUUGUCCAUCUCUUGUACGGUGCCAGUGGAUCAAUAGCAUCAAAGUAGCUAGUGUACUCAUCAAUUGACAGAACAUUUCUGCAUAGAAAAGGUACAACAAGGAAGAAGGUCAACCGGAGAGAAAUAAAAGAGAAUCGAGUUGUUGGAAUUCGCGUUCCAGGUGAAACGGUAUUGAACACAGACAACUAAAAUGAAUUAAGGAGAGGACUCCUCUGCAAUUACUCAAGUCCCUGAGAACUUCAGUGCUUUUUAUUAACUUUGCUUGCUCCUAUGUAUUACCUAGACAUUAAAGUAAUAACCAUCGAUAUCAGUUUUAUUAAAUACAUAUCUUUAUCCCUAUUGCCAAGCUAUAUUUCUCUUCCCCUCCCCCCACCCACACACCUGCAUGCACAGGCAAGUAAUUGAGACAUUGCUGGGUACAUUUGCAAACCUAGAGAAGUUGUAAAAAUAUUUACUUGUAUCCAUAUUCGGACAUCACAGCAGCAGGUUCUCCUUUGCCAACAGCAACGACAAGUUCAUUCUCGAAUCUGUGCAAAAACCUCAAUUAGGAAACAGAUGAAUAAAAUAGAGAAGCAUAUUCAUUAGUAAAACAGAAAAGCCUAUUCAGAAUUCUCAUAGAAUAGUUAGUACAUGCAUGCGCACUCUUCUAUGUCUUUUCAAUUCAUAUGAUAUAAUAUAUGUAGUGCAUUUCCCUGGUUUCCAAAAGAAAGCACAUCAGAUGAAGAUAUUAGGUGUUCUUUGAUAUCCACGUACACAUACAAGAUGUGUACAUUCAAUAAAGCCCAAUUUCACAGUUUUGAACCUACUAAAGUGUGUACUUAUAAUUAAUUCUUGUACAGGAGAAUUUUUAUUAAGCUAAUAAUACACAUGCACGAUAUUUUAUUUCACAAUCCCAUAUUUUAAUAAUCAUGAGUUAGAUAGAUGAAAAAAGUAAAUGUUAUUGAAAAUGCUCAGUCCUGAUUUACAUUAGCAUGCCAAAUUUCUCAUUGGACAUUGGUCAUGGAGAUAAUCCAACAAAUCCUUACCUAUUUACCAGUUGUUUAAAAGGUGUGUGGCCCUGUAUGACCUGCAAAUUAUCUUGGUCAAAAUAUGAGAGAGAACGAAACAAAGUAGUUCUGGACCUGAUAACAAGCAAAAUCAUGAGGGCAAGCAGAUUUUGUAACACAAGAGAUGAACUACCUGUGAAGGUAGAAUGUUGACUCCUAGUAGUUGACCUAAGUCCUGGGCUCUUUUGGAUUCAGAAAAGCCACCUCCUGCAUCAGCCAUUGCUAUUAGCAGUGUGCAGUAAAAACUAAUUAUCGCUUCUUCAAGAAUUAACAAGUGAAAUUUCUUCUUUCAAGGGAGUAACAUAUUGAACAUAGGUAAGGGAAUCUCAAAAGGCGUCACAGAUUCAAAUUGCUUGAAUGUCUCAAACAUAAGAUAGCAGCAAUCUCAAAAUCAUCAAGACGAUUACUAUUAGAUCUUAAAAGUACCAAUACUUGCCGAUAACUGAAUAAUCAACCACAACAAGCAUAUGAUGUCCAGCACGCGACUUGAAAACUUUAGUUUGACCAUUAUAUCACGGCACUCACCGGUAGUGAUUCUAUUGAACGGUCACAUUCAGUAACACAUAUCAAAAGUGAGAAACGUAAUGACAAAAAUUACUAACACAUUAAAGCAAUUACUAGGACCUAUUGAAGUCUACCAAUCAGGAACACUCACCAUUUGUUAAGAACACGAAAGGUAUCUUCAACUUUCCUGAAAAGAUGGAGAACGUAAAGUAAGUGAUAGCAGGCUAUCAAAUAGCAGAUACGAAGCUCGAUAUCCCCCGCCCCUACAGUCCAUCAGAAAACUCGGUAUCGAUCAGCGAAAAAGACAUGCAUUCGCAACGUAGAACAUACGCGAAACGGCAAGAUCACCAGCACGACAUAAGCCUCGCAGGUAUAUUAGCAAGCGAUGGCGAAAGCUUUACCAGAAUCGUCGUACAAUCUCCUGAGCGCGCGCGGAGAACCGCCGACGGGAGUGUGACCGAGGAGGACCACGCCGUCGAUGUCGAAGGCGAUGCCGAACGAAGGCCUGCACGACGAAACCACGAUCGUCGAUUCGAUCACGGACGAAAAAGAAGAAGAAAAAGAGAAAAAGAGAACAUCGGAGAAAGUCACGAGCGUAGUCGAAGCAUGACCGGAACGCACCGAUCCGAUUGCGAGCUAAGCCGCGAAAACGAGCGCAAGGGCGAGGCGAGCGGGGACGGCUGCUUUCUGCCUCGACUCCGCGAGGCGAUGGUGAAAAGCCGGUGCCUCAUUGUCCUGUUCGCGGCCAAUCGCUUCGGGAGAUCGAGGAGCUCGAGUCGCUGGAGAUGAAUCUCCAAGAAGAACCGGAACGAGCUUCAACAGUCUACAACAGAGAGAGAGAGAGAGAGAGUGGCCCAAUCGCGCAGCGUCUUCUCGUUCGAUGUUCGGGAGCCGUGAAUUGGGCCCGUUGAAAUGAUGGGCGGGCCUCGAUAACGGAUCGACCUUUCAUUCGGAUCCGAGCUCAACGGUUAAGCUUGAUUUUGGUUAGCGUUUUUGGGCUCUUUUCUUUAGUUCUUUCAUUUUUGUUGUAGUUUUCUCUUUAGGCCUAGUAAUUCGGGCUCCUUGUCUCGGAACCUCUCGAGAGAAUCGCUAACUGCAUCUUUGGUGCACCUGGUGCAUGUACGUAUAGAAAUUCUCAAUUGGCUAGUCGUAAAUGGCCCCACCCUAGGACUAUGAAACCAAUGGUUAUCCCAAACCUACAUCAAGAUGUAGACGGUGAUUCUCAAAUAUUGAAAAACAGGGUGUGAUACAAUGAAAUAGGAUGCAAUGGAGAUAGACACAAAAAAUGAACGGAUUGCUUUUUUACUUUUUCUUUUUACUAUUUCCUUGUAGCGUAGUUUAUCACUUCUGAAUGAUUUUUUAUCCAGCCAAAGGAUAAUCUUCUAUAUUUGCUCCAACAUGUUUAACAUUUUCAACCUGGCGAAAAUUUGAUUAGAUGCAGAAGAGAAACAAGUGGAAUAUCAACCAAAAGAAAAUCAAAACUGUUAUACAUACCUUAGUAUUAGUCUUCAUAAAUAAAAGAUACUUUUGCAUUCCAUAAGUACUGACUUGUUUUGUUAUGCAGAACAUCCAUGUCUAGCACUUACCCAUUGUAAAUUUGAGUGUGUUGAAAGGUGAAAUAGUUUUUGUGCUCAGGGACAUGACAGACUUACAUUGUGAAAGACCAGAGUGUGGCAAAAAAUUGAUAAGAAUUCUCCUAUUGAAUAUGCCGCGACAAUGUCAAUUAAUCCUCCAAUCGCUUUCAAAAUGCUUGGAGACUUCACCUAUUUGGAACCAAGUAUAUAGACAGUACAGAAGUCCUCUUAGCUGUCCCCAAAGUUUUACCAUAAGCAAUUUUUGAAAGUUGUCCUAAUCAGUUGUGAUAAUUAAGGGAUUCUAUUGUGCAAAAUGGGGUUACAAGUAUGGUGGGUCGAUGCCUCAUCCAAAUUGUGAAAUCCCGCGGCAUCCAUAGCAUCAACAUAAUUAGGGACAGGUGCUCUUUUGAAAGCUUUUAGUAACCUUGACACCGUAUAACUUUUGUCAAACUAUUGUUGUUUAAAACUUUUGUGUAGACUUUAGAUAGCAAGGGUGUGUGUGGGUUUGCUUUUAUUUCUCUUUUCAGUGAUCUACCUUAAUCAUUGCUAGCAAGCCUUUUUUUGUUUUUUUGCCCCUUGCGAGAAAGCAUGGAGCUCUUGUCUACUUAGCUUCUAAAGUAACUUUGGAUGGUUACACAGCCCGAAUUCUAUUUGAAAUUCAAGCUCUAUGAUGACAAGUUGGAACUCUUUGGGGACCGAAUUACUUGUGGCAACUCUGUCUUUUCAUGUUCUUGUCACACCCCAAAACUACAAAGAAUGGGGAUGACACGGCCGUCCUUCUUUACAAAGGACGCAGCCUCAAACACAACCAACAAACCGAUAUUAACUUAUAUAUAUAUAUAUAUAUAUAUAUAUAUAUAUAUAUAUAUAUCAGAUAAACCUUCAAAUUGGUUGCAACAUCAGAGUUUCUAUAAUCCACUAAAAAGAUAAAAGAGAUAUACGUCUAAAACUCAGACGAUCAAACCACUAGUAAGGAUCAUUUUGCACCACUUCCUUAAACCAUACCAAAAACAAAAUAGAACUCCCCAAAAGUUUCCCAUGAUGGCGCACUCGCUUUAUUCGCCGCUAGCUAAGGAACCUGAAAAGAUCAAAGGAGGAAUGGGAUGAGCAACCACAGCUCAGUGAGUAGUACAUAUCUUCUAAGCAGAUUGAACAACCACAAUGCAUGUAUACAAAGCAAUACCAAACUUCAUAACGCCAACUCAAUAUAUAAAAUACGUAUUGAAUCUUAUAAGAGUUAUUUCUUAUUAUAAAAAAUUUAUACUAAUAUGGAAAACUCAUUUAAAUCGCCAUCGAAAGUCAAGUAUCAAUGGUCGAAUCCAUUGAAUAAUCUCCAUCAAAAACACAUAUCAAUGGUCUAUCCAUUGAUCAAUCUUUUGCUCAAUAACUAACCAUGGUCACGACACAACACCUUGUGACAAGGCGACCAAGAUUCUCCCCUUGGCAAGAUCUCCACCUACAAAGCUGAUGCCUGGGCCCAGAAGGAUAUCCUAAACCUGGUAUGCAUACCCCAAAAACCCUUCACUGGGUUCACAGUUAUAUUGAGUAUAAAUAACCAUUCUCUAAUACCAGAAAUCCAAUCCAGAAAUCAAUAUCUUAAACCAAACAAAUAAUAUUUUGCAACAUAGCCCAUAAUUCAUUUCAUAUCCAUUUCUCAAAUCAUCAUAAACCUUUUCAUAAAUCAGUCACAAAGCAAUUUCAUAUAUGUUUCUCCACAAACCUUAUAUAACAUGCUUUUCAAAUAUUCACAGUCAACCAAAGGGUAGCAAUUACUCGAUCUAGCUUUUAUGCAAUAAAAAUGCUCUUCUCAAUUCAAUAUAUAUACAUAUAUAUACUUCAAUACAUGAUUUUAUAAAACCAAAAAAGAUAUAGUACCACUCACCUUAUCGUUUACAACCAAACGACAAACGAUACUUGUAUCGUCGAACUCAAGGCCCUAUUAAAUAACCAAAGAAUAAUUUUAAAAUCUAAUAAAAUUCUAUCUCGACUACAAAAUGACUAAGUUACACCUUAAUUCUAACAAAAGUUCUUCUGCGCGCUAACAAGUCGCAUAACCAAAUCGAUUGUUCAAGCCAUUCGCAACAUGAAGUUUAAGCGCAAAACUUGAUCGAGCCUUAACUCUCUCUUCCGAACUCCGAUCCGAAUGUACUUAUAGUCAAUAGAGAGCCCUUGACACAUAUUACAAGAAUCCCAAAUUGGCCAUCCCAAAAUCAAGCCGAAAAAUGACAAAAUACGGGCCCAAAGCUACUGGACGCGUACUGUUUACUGCGCGCGGGAAACUUUGAAAUUUUGUUUCGGACAAACCAUAAGCUCAAAUCACGAUCCGUAAAAUCCCAUGGCUCCACAACACCCUAAAUUACCAUUCUUACAAAAAUACGCGGCUCAACAACUCCAAAAUUAGACUUCGCCGCUCGAUUUUCCAAAAAUUCCGAAUUUGAGUCCUAAAUGCAAAAAUUACUUCAAUCGGACAAACAAGGGGCUUGAUCUCUUACCGGGUUAUGGAGUCGAGUUGGCUUGGCGAGGCAUCCGAGGCGUGCACGUGCCAAAACUUCUUUCCUUUCUUCCCUUUUCUCUUCUUCUUCUUCUCCUUCUUUUUCUUAUCUUUUUGGUCGAGGAAACUCUCAGUUUCUGUUUAGCCGAACCUUCUCCCCUCUCCUUUUUGCUUUAAUGACUUUUCGGUUUCUUUUUCAGUUUCUUCUUUUGGGGCAUUUGCAACUUCUUUUGCUGUUACUUCUUUUGGGGCCCACUAGACUAAUGUUACAGUUCUAAUUACAAACCUUGCUGGUGGACUAAAAGUUAUGAACAAUUGCCAGAUGCACAAAUAUGUUGAUUAUGUUUGGUUGUGGUAGUGAUAUAUCAAUUUACAAAUUGAAAAUGUGCCAAAAUAUUCAGCAUUCUCAUAUCUCAGGUUUUUAUGGAAGAUGGUGUGAUUGACAAAGAUCUCUUGCAUUGAAUAACAAGGAGAAGUUGAUCUUGAGCUUGUGUUACUGUAGUUGACCCUUUCAAACUUAAAGUAACACAGAGUGUGAUCACUUAUUCGAGGAAAUUAUAAUCUCUGGCUAGGUGCUAUAAUGGGCAGGAAUCUAUGAGGCUAACUAAGCAUUAGUUCAUGCAUUGGCAUGCAAGAAUGGUUCUGUUAUGAGGGCAUUUUGAGAAACUGAUUAUGUUGAACUUAUCAAAGAAAGUAAGACAAUACUUUAGGUUGGUUUUGGUACAUCAACUAACAUCCUUCAAUCUGCCAAUAUAAAGAUGAGGUCUUGUGAUGGGGUAACAUGUAUAGGAAAGAUUAGAAGGACUUGCUUUUUGAAUCUAUUGAAGGCAAAAGCAGUUAAUUGAAGUGUGAAGUGAAAAGAUAUGUUUCUGCAUUGCUCAUCAGAAGUGACUUGUUAUUAUAGAUGCCGCUUCUACUAUUUUUGCAGUCAUCAUGUGUUCUAGAUGUUGAUUGCUGGUAUGUUUAGAUCAUCAUACUACUGGGGCAUUGGUAAUUCCAUCUUUUGUGGUUGCUGGUGGAAAAUUACCUUUAGUAUAUCUAAGACCUCUCUUACUUUGCAACUUCCUAUAGUGAUUUUUUAAAUUUUGUGAUGAGACACAAAAAAGGUCAUAAAACAUUUUGCAGUGCUUGACACAUUAAUUUAGUAGAGCUCUCUUUAGCCAGCUCAUUAGUUCCUAUGUGACAUCUAGGAUGAAUUUAGUAGAAUUCGUAAUUUCUUUUUCAACUUAGCAGUUAGCAUUGCAUUUCAGUAACUAAAAUUAAUUUCUUUUUCAACUUAGCAGUUAGCACUGCAUUUUAGUAACUAAAAUUGGUUUUUAUUGGGCUUUCAUGACCCUUUUUUUUCGUGACAAAGCUGGCUCUGAUGAAGGAAAAGAGGCAUUGAAGAAACUCGGUGCUGGGGAAGUGUUCACUAAGAGCCAAUUAGAAGUAAAGAAUGUCAAGAGUCUACCGGUAUCAUGCACCCAUUAACCCAUUCUACCAUAUUCUCAUGCAUGGACACACAUCCACAUUUAGCCAUCGGCACUUGAGUUCUUUAUUUACAUCUAAUUGACUUGAAACUAGGGUGAUCUUUAAGAACCUGCCCUUGGAUUAAACUGUGUUGGUGGCAAUGCUGCUUCCUUGGUGAUGAAAUUUUUUAGGUGCAACAAGUGUUAAAGUAGUGUUGAGUGCUUCCCAUAUCUUUCCGAAGAGAGCUGAUUUCGUUUUGUUCUUAGACGGGGAGGAACCAUGGUGACAUAUGGUGGGAUGUCUAAGAAACCAAUUACAGUAUCAACUUCAUCUUUCAUCUUCGAGUUAAAUUAAGAAGCGGCAAACUAAAUUUUCCGCCUAUGGUUACGAGGUUAUUUCAGUCAAGCCUUACAAUUUGACUUGUCCAUGUUUUGGUCUCGGUCUUGGUCAAUGCCCUAUGGUUUUACUUUUUGUCUAAACUUGGCCCAAAAUCUCACUUUCAGUAUUUGACGCAACCAAAUUUGAGAAAAAAAAAAAUUAUUCCUAGAGUCAAGACUAAGAGGAAUGGUGUAAACCAAUGCUUCCAUAUAUUCAAUCGCACAGGGAGUUUUUUUUUUUUUUUUUUUUGGGAGGGGGGAGGCAAUGUAAUUACCUGUUAAGAAAUGAAGCAAACUAUGGAUUGGUGAGAAAAUCAUGCACGUGAGAUCAAGAGAUUAUCCACAUUGAUUUCUUAGGGCCAAAGAAUCACUAUCACUUGAUCCCUUAAUCGAAAGUAGUAACUGUGGCAUAGCUCAGGCAUCUUUAAGCCUGCAAUAGGUGCUGAACAUCAAAAGAUAAACUUGUACCCGUAGGAGGCGUUCUAAUAAAAGAUCUAGAGCAAAGAAGAAGGCAUAGAAACAAUGGUUCUACUAUUGUCUCCUUGAUUUCAUUGUGAUAUCUCAUGCAAAAGUUCAAUUGUACCCAUAGGGGGCGUUUUAGUAAAAGAUCUAGAGCAAAGGCAUAGAAACAACGAUUCUAUUAUUGUCUCCUUCUUGAUUUCACUGUGAUAUCUCAUGUUCAAUUGUACAGUCAGUACCGUUGACUUCUGGAAUUAAUUCCUAAAUCAUAAAGCACAUCUUGAGUGUACGAUAAUGGUUGUUAUGGUUUGCAGGAUCUUUCUUUUAGGGGAUUUUGGCUGCAUAACUGGAUGAGUUCAAAUGAUGUGACAGAGUGCAGAAGAAUGAUAGAUCACUUGCUGGAACUAGUGCGUGAUGGGAAGUUAAAAUACGAGUAUGUCUUUGGUAACUCUACUCAAGUUGCUGUAUUUAGGUCUCCAUUUCUUUAUAGUAAUAUCCAAUAGUCUGUAUCGUCAAGAUAGUGUGUUUCGAUUGUGGAUGCAUAUGAAUUUCUGCAAAACUGCAGGACGGAGCUGGUUCCUUUUAGUGAUUUCCACAUUGCUGGAUAAAUCACUGGGGAAACUUGGAAGCCAUCCUAAGCAAGUCUUAAAGUUCUAAGGCUACUGAAUAUUAAGGGCGGUGAAAAGAUGGAAAAAUUAUGCGUCGUAUUCUUCAAACGAUCAGCUUGUUCUGAAGUUCCCAUACGCUAGAUUAACCCAACAAGAUAACUAUGUAUUCUUUCCAUUAUUAUAAUUAUUAUUUUAUCUUUUCAUAAGUUGUGCAUCUUUUUCUGUUGAGGUCCCUCUUGUUGCGGCUUAUUUUCAGCAAUUUCCAUUCUGAAUUUGUUUUGCAUCAAGCCUUCCAAUCUAAAACUAAUCUUGUGCUCUGCUAAAACAUGAGGUCCAUCUGCUCAAUUUGGAGAUCCAAACAUCGGCUCUUUAUGGUAUUGGAACAGUCCGGAAAGUUUUCAGAUUUUGCCAAUUACAAUUCUCAUAUACAUGUAAGAAGGAACAUUGGGAUACUUACCAAAAAUCAUGUAAGCAAGAUCGCAUGCGCUGAGAAAAGAGCAAGAAGAACCAUAAAUUGUUCACGUGAUCCAUCUAAUUCAGAUGGGAUGCGGACUGCCUUCAAGGAAAGUCAUACAUUAAACACGAUAAACAAAAUCAAGUGAAGACUAGUGAAUGGAAGUUACUUUUUGAGAUAAGGAAAACACACGAUGGAAAGAUCGUGUCAGCUUCCGAAGAAUUGGCGAUUGUUCAGUAAUCACAGAAAGAAAGGGUAUCUUUUGUCUAGACAAUGUCGAGAACCGCACUCCUUUCUCAAUACAAAGUCGACCACGUCCCCACAGUAUCCACCACUUGCCUGGGGUAAACAUAAAAGAGUUCAACCAAGAUGAGAGAUUUUCAAAUUCAUUUUCAACCUUGAAAAAUUUAGAGAGAAAACAAAUUCUCCGUAAAAGUGGCUUUCCAUUAUGCACGGCUUUGAAAUACUAACAUUUUGCUAGGCCGAAGAGGGAAAGGGUUCAUUCAAUCAUGUUUCAUCCCACCAAGUUAGAAUCUACAGAUCACCUAGAGCAUAGCAAAUCAAGGUAUAUAAGUACUUGGAAGAUCAUCCGCGCUGACACCUCAAAACACUUAAAGUCAUGUUUGGUUAAUGGUCAGGGAAUCAUGAAAGGAAUCCCAAACUGUAAAAUCACAGAGGACAAUAGUUGGAAAAAUGUCCAUGGAUCUUAUGUGGUCCUUCAUUCUGUUUCUAUCCCUAGUUUUCUGUUAUUCGCUUUGUAUAUGUUGACUAGAGACGCAUUCCAUUUCUCACAUGUACAAUAUGAUUAUUAUGUCAAGAGAUGGGCUUCAUUCGGUGAGCAAAGGUCAACAUGGAAUUCUUGUGACUUCAGCCUAAGAAUAGAAUUUCUAAAUCAAUCUAGUAAUUUAUUUUUUGUUUAUUUCACGAAAAAUAAAUAAUUUAAUAAAUAUUUUCCUAAAAGUAAUUAUUUAUAUCGCUCAAAAUAAUUAUUUAAUAAUAAAUAUUUUUAUUAUCUAUAAUAACUUAUAUUUAAAUAUUUUUUCAUAAAAAAUGAAAAUAUUUUUAGUUUGUUUAUUUGUAUAAGCAAUAUAAAUGAUUAUAUUUAGGAAGAAUAUUUUAUUAAUCAUUCUCUUAAUCCAAGAUACAUUCCUAUUAUGUCUGUGCUAUAGUCCCAUCUUCUUUCUCGAUUGAAUUAAUUAAUCACCUAGGCCAAAAGUAAAGCAAAAUCUUUCGGGCUCUAAAUAGGCAAUAAUACUCUAACGGCUUUUCAUCGGCCAACAUUUAGUUAUUCUCAUGGACCAAUACCAUCUGUUUUUAUGGUCGUCGUAGUCAAAAAGGGGAUUGGAAAUUAGAACACCUUUUGAAGGGAGGAGAUUAUGUAAAGCCAAAAGAAGCAACAUGGAUGGACCAUUUUCUUAGCCGGAGCAUCAACAAACGGAGAAAAUUAUGGAGAUACAAUCCUCCUCAGAUGAUGGUUUAACAGUGUACUAAGCACCGGCCAACGGACGAGUGUGAUCAUCAUCUUUUAAGGAGACAAUGAAUGAUUAGAUAGCUUUGUUGAUGACAUGAAAGUGACAAGCGGUACUUCUACUGUAGCAUUUACAUUUGGAAAAAGAUGGGACUCCCGUUAUAUUCUUUUCUACCUAAGGGUCAAGGGAGAGCAUUAAAUUCCCUCCCCCCCACCCCCCUCCACCCCUUCUCUCCAAAAAAAAAAAAAAAAGAGCCUAUUGACUUAUCUCUCCUAUUGAGUGCUUAAAUCAGAGGAUUAAUAUCUUGAAAAAUCCAAAACUGAUAUAUUUGUGAUAAAUUUAUCCCAAACUAAUUUUUUUAACAUUUAAAACCCUAAAUUAGUAUACAUUUAACAAAUUUAUCUCAAACUGGUACACUUGUGAUAAAUGUACCCUCUGUUAGUUUUCGUUAAAAUUUUAUGUCAAAUUAUUAAAUUAAAUGGCAUGUGACAGUUGACUGAUAUACCAAUUAGGAAUUUUACUCUCUAUUUGUCACAAUUUAUACUUUUGUGAUUUUUUGUGGUAUUAAUCCAAUUUAACAUGAGGUAUAUUUGUUACAAAUGUACGGGUUUGAAAUUUUUGGCAGUCAAGUAAAUUAGUUUGGGGCAAAUUUAUCAUAAAUAUAUUAGUUUAGGGUUUUUUUUUUGUCAGUUGGGGUAAAUUUGUCACGAGUGUACCAAUUUGGGGUUUUUCAUGGUCAAAAAAAUAGUUUUUGGUAAAUUUAUCAUAUGUAUACCAGUUUGAGAUUUUUUAGGGUAUCAACCCUAAAUCAAAAGAAAACCAACGUCGUUUUAUCGCGUCACGGUAUUGUUGUUAGAGUUAAACAAUUGGAAAUGAGUGGAGCACCUUGUUAGAAAAUUCUACGAGACUUAGCUGAUAUUUUAUUGGGGAGAAGUACACUAAUGGUGCCAUAAGUUGUGUACAGCGCUCACUUUGGUGUCAAAAGUUUCUGUCGGAUCACUUAAGUGCCAAAUCGGAGGGAAAACGAUCACUUUGGUGCCACUAGGGAGAAAUUCCGGCCAAAAUAAUUACGUGGCUUUUAUAUUUAAAAAAAAAAAAUCGACGUGGCUUAAGAUUGUCCACAGUGGAUAGCAUAAAAUGACGUUGUUUUCCUUUCUUUGUAGAAACAACGUCAUUUCUUGCCAUCUACCGUGGAUUCACAUAAGAAACGACCCCGCGUUGCUCCAUAGCAAAAAACGAUGUCGCUAAAGAGGGAGUAAAAUAGGGUUCGUAUACGGUUCUCCUCGACGCCGACCGUAGCUUGCUCACCCACCAUCGUUCACCCACCGCCGUUCGCUUGCCGGCUGUCGCUCGCCUGCCGUCACUCGGCCAUCGUUGUAGUUGCACCGUCGUUCACGAUCAUUCAGGUUUGUCAUGUUCUCUACGUUGAUCAAUUUUGCGAAAAAAUUUAGAGUUCUAACAGGCAAGUUAGGGCACAAAGGGCAAAUUGAGGGCUCGGCUCAGGGGGAAAGUAGUGGGAAAAGUGGUGGGGAUGUCACUUUUAUGGGGACGGCAUAGAAAAAUUGAUUCUUCCAUCGUUCGUUCGCUUUCUGUUGUGGGGACCAAAUAGAAAAANNNNNNNNNNNNNNNNNNNNNNNNNNNNNNNNNNNNNNNNNNNNNNNNNNNNNNNNNNNNNNNNNNNNNNNNNNNNNNNNNNNNNNNNNNNNNNNNNNNNNNNNNNNNNNNNNNNNNNNNNNNNNNNNNNNNNNNNNNNNNNNNNNNNNNNNNNNNNNNNNNNNNNNNNNNNNNNNNNNNNNNNNNNNNNNNNNNNNNNNNNNNNNNNNNNNNNNNNNNNNNNNNNNNNNNNNNNNNNNNNNNNNNNNNNNNNNNNNNNNNNNNNNNNNNNNNNNNNNNNNNNNNNNNNNNNNNNNNNNNNNNNNNNNNNNNNNNNNNNNNNNNNNNNNNNNNNNNNNNNNNNNNNNNNNNNNNNNNNNNNNNNNNNNNNNNNNNNNNNNNNNNNNNNNNNNNNNNNNNNNNNNNNNNNNNNNNNNNNNNNNNNNNNNNNNNNNNNNNNNNNNNNNNNNNNNNNNNNNNNNNNNNNNNNNUUUUUUACGAUGCAAAGUGCAAAAACUACAUUACUGUAUUCCUAGGAAAGAAUUGAAGGAUGGGUUGAGAUUUUUUAAUGACGAUAAUGGUAUUAAGGAUAUCAUUUACCAUUAUUUUCAUGGUGAAGAAGCUAAAGUAUAUGUUGAGUAUUAUAGUGAGGAUGAGGAUGAGGAUGAGGAUGGGGAUGAGCAGACCACCACUGAAGGAGGAGAAAUGAGGGAUCAUGUUCAAGCGAGUAAUCAGGUUGGGGAUGAGUUUAGGUUAGAUGGAGGGCAAAAUGAGAGGGAGAUAAGUCAUAUUGAUAGAGAUGAACAAAGAGAGAGAUGUCCUGAAAUCUUGGGUGAAGAUGUGGGUGAUGAAGACUUCAUUGGAUUAGAAUGAGAAAUUGCUUUAUCUAGUAAAUCGAAAGAUGAAUGUUUGGCUUUAGUAAAUUUCCCAAGUGAUGAAGAUGAUGAUGAACUUGCACAGUCAAGACAAAAGCAAAGGGAAUUUUUAAGAAAAAAACUUGCAGCUUCAAUAAAAAGGCCCAAGCCAGUAAAUAGGGAUGGAGAUCUAGCUGAGAGUAAUAGAAGUGAAGAUGAAGAAAGUUGUGGCGAUGAAGUUGCUGGUUCGGAAAAUGAGCUUGACAAUGAUGAUGAACUUGCUCCUCAAAGAAAAAGUAAGUACCAUUGCUAUGAUCCGACUAUUGAUAAACAUGUUUUGUCGGUGGGCAUGAGAUUUGACGAUGUCAAACAAUUCAAGGAAGCUAUUAUGAAGAACUCAAUUGGUGAACAGAGGAGCGUUAAAUUCAUUAGAAACACGAAGGAGUUUGUGAGAGCUAAGUGCUCACAACCUAAUUGUUCGUGAAAGCUCUAUGCCGCGCUUAGUAAGAAUGGGUCAUUCCAUAUUAGGUCCUUUCAGAAUGAGCAUACUUGUCCAAUUAUCUUUAACAAUAAAAGGGUAACAAGUGUGUGAUUAUCAAAGCAUUUUUUCAAUACUAUCAAAGUAAUGCCCGAGAUCAAGAGUCCUCAAUUUCAACAAUUAGUGAAUGAGCAAGUGGGGGUUAAUGUGUCGAGGAAUCAAUGUAAGAGAGCAAAGAUAAGGGUGAUGAAGAUAUUGAUGGGUGGGUAUAAGGAAGAAUAUGCGCAGGUAUGGGAUUAUGCUGGUGAAUGUAUGUUUCAAAACCCAUCUAGUAUGGUAUAUAUAGAAGUUGUGGAGAGGCCACUCCCUGAUCUUGAGCCUAGAUUUGAUAGAUUUUAUGUUUGUUUUGAUGCAUGCAAACGGGGCUUCUUGGCUGGUUGUAGAAGAGUUAUAAGAUUGGAUGGAUGCUUUCUAAAGGGUUUAUGCAAUGGGGAGUUAUUGGUUGCUGUGGGGAGAGAUGUCAAUAAUCAAAUGUUCCCGAUAGUUUGGUUGGUAGUAAAGAUAGAGAACAAUGAUAUUUGGUCCUGGUUCCUAAAAAAUUUAAUUGCUGACCUUGAGAUAACCGAUGGGGAAGGAUGGGCAUUCAUGAGCGACCAACAGAAGGUAAUUUCAUUGUCGAUUAAUUCACUCCCUUUUAAUAUUAGUCACUUGCAUAUUUUUCUUGACUUGUAUUUAUUGGUUUGAAUUUUUGUAGAGACUUAUUCCUGCAUUGGCUGAAUUGAUGCCACAUGCUGAACAUAAAAUGUGUGCGAGGCACAUAUAUGCAAACUGGUCAAGGAACUUCAAAGAAGAUAGGCUGCAGAAGCAGUUCUAGCAGAUAGCAAAGAGUACGAAUAUGGCCGAUUUCAUAUUAGCCAAACAAGAAUUGUUGCAGCUGACAAAGGAAGGUUUUGAUGCACUCUUCCAAACAGAAGCUAAGCACUGGUGUCGGGCCUUCUUUAGCGAAGAGUUCAAAUGCGAUAUCAUUAAUAACAAUCUCAGUGAAGCUUUUAAUGGUAGAAUUUUAGAGGCCAGGUGUAAACCAAUCAUCGGCAUGCUUGAUAAUAUUCGAAUUAUGGUUAUGACUAGACUGCAUAGGCAAAAAGAUGAGGCUACAAAAUGGAGUAGAGACUGUGGCCCUAGGAUUGUGAAGAAAUUGGAUGCAAAUAUUGCUGCUAGUAGGUUCUGCCAUCCAGUUUGGAAUGGAGAUAAUGGAUAUGAGAUUAUUCAAAAUCAGGAUAAGUAUGUUGUCAACCUGGAUAGAAGAAAGUGUUCAUGCUGAGCUUGGCAACUAAAUGGAAUUCCUUGUGCCCAUGCCAUUUGUGCUAUUCAGAUGAAAUAAGAAAAUCCAGAUGAUUACCUACAUGAUUAGUACAAAAGAAAAAAAAACUCAUACCUUGCUUCAUACCAAUUCAUGAUGCAGCCUAUCAAAAGCAGCAAAUUUUGGGAGCCAACAAAUCAUGAAAGCCCUCUACCUUUACCGCUGAAGAAGCAAAUAGGAAGGCCAAAAAAGAGACGAAGAAUGCAGCAGGAAGAGGCAUCAAGUCAAAGGAUGAGUAGGACUGGAUCAAAGAUGAAAUGCUCCUAUUGCCGCAAGGAAUGGCACAAUAAGAAAGGUUGUGAGCUGAAAAAGCAGCAUCAACAGCAAGAUGUAAUGGCUGAUUUAGUGCCAGGGAUAGGACCUACUGAAGAGUUUCUUGUUGGGCCUAUUGAAGGGAGGACAGAAGGCCCUGCUGUAAUGCCUACUGAAAGGCAAACAGAAAGCCAUGCUAUAAGGUAAGUAUCAUCUUUGUCUUAGUAACUUUACAGUUUUUAUUCGAUAGUGAUGUUGGUCAUAAUCCUAAUAUAGAACAUUGUUGUAAGGUCUAAGAAAGGGCCAGAAAAAGGCCCUGUUGUAGGCUCAAGUGCGGGAAUAGGGACUGGAAUGGGCAGGACAGCAAGAACAACAACUCAGUCCAUUAUUGAGCAAACAAGAAAAAAAUAUCCUGUAAGUUGUACAUCGCUAUGUUUGGUCUUUUAUGAGCUAAAAUUUACAUUUGUUAUGUGUUUCUCAUGUGAGAAGACGAGCAACUGUACAAGUUGCAGAGGUUGCUACAAGGAUUAUUGUUGCUGAAAAUGAUGCACCACAGCGAACAACAGGGGCUCUUGGAAAAAGAUUAAGGCAAUAUGGUUAUGGGAUUUACACAGAUGAACGUACUUGAAUGACUAUUUUGAAUGUAAGAUUUAUAGGCCUCAUGCAUUUAAUUUGUUAUACUUCAAUUCAUUCGAUGACAAUAUCACUAUGUUCUUGUAGCCUAAGAAAACUUCAGAGGUACUUCUCUCUCAAGGUGGGCCAACUCAAGAAUCAAUGGUGCAGCCAAAGAAGAGUGCUCCAAAGAAGAAGAAGACAGCAAGUAUAGUUGUGAAACAGUCAUCCAAAAAGAACUCAGCAUCAGUUCCAUCUCAACCAACGAUUAGGAGCAGUAGUGAUAAUAUGGACCAACACAUGACACAUGCUAGAACAAAAAUAGCCGCCGUCAAAAACAAGGAAAAGGAAAAUGAGGUGACAGAAAGCCCAGCUAAAGAACCUGCACAUGCAGUUCGAAAGAGUGCCCGGAUUAUGAAUCAAUUCAAAGCUCCAAGAGGAAAAGGAGAUCAAGAUGUUAUCAAUAUUAACUUAUGGGAGGGUGCUGGACAUGGUCUCUUUUUAUGUGAUGCUGGACAUGGUUUUUUUUUCAUGUUUUCCUUUUUUAGGAGUGUGCUGGAUAUUAUAUCAAUGAUGGUAGUUGUUGCCUGCAAUGCCAUUAUUAUUUUUUUUAAGAGAGUGUUGAACUUUCGAUGAUUGUGGAGUAAAGUUAGACAUGCUUUUCUUUUCUUUUGUAAACAAUCAAUCAAUGUUAAUGGCAAGUACUAGAAUGACUAUUCAUUUUCUCUUGUGUUGGUUUCGGCUAGAAUGCUAGCAAGUCAGUUAUGAUGCUGUAUAUUUUAUUUUUAAUGUUACUGCAAUGUUGCUAUUGCUACAAUGUUGCUGUUGCUGCACUGUUGCUGUCAGCAAAAACUAACCAAAACAAACAUUGACAAUACACAACUAAACAACAAAAUUUUUAAGUGCUCACAACUAAUGCAUUCCAAGUCCAACCUUGCAUUUCUACCCAUAGAUUACAACAACAAAACAUUCUGCUCCAUACAAAAAUUGCAGCAAACCAAAAAACACAUUUUACUUAUAAAUAAUCCAAUACAAGUGCAUAUUACACGUCUUCGAUUAUGGUAGACAUACAAACUUCUUCUUAUUACUCACUUUACAUUUGAAUAAACUACCCAAGAGAAUAAGAACACAAUCAACGCUCGAUAAAAGUUUCUUUCAAUUUUCAGCCUUGAAACUUCCCUCUUCAAAUGGUCUACCAGAGAUGUUAAACCCUUCAUUUGAGCUUGCAUUGAGUCGACAUCCUCCAACUCGUCUAUUAACAUAGGUGGAGGUUGAUUUCGGCCUUCAAGUAACUCCAAUAUCACCUCUGUCGCUCGAUCAGAGAAUUUCCUAUCAACCCAUUUGAAAUACUGGCACUUCGAGCCUUCUCUAUAUCUGUCGCACCCAUGGAAUCUUCUCUCGGGAUUCAACCGAGUCCAAGAUGUUCUUCUCGGACUCAGUAACCCACAAUAAUAAUAAUACUCACCAUCUAAUUCGCUUUUCUUAUAGGAAUGUGAGCCACUACUGAAGCUUUUGUCCUCCAUUUGCAAGAGCGAGCUAAUAACUUUGGGAGAAAAUCGAAUAAUGCACUCGAAAUGAUCGAAUUGGGGAUUUAGGGUUUUCAACUUCCGAUUCUAAUCGAAAUUGGGGAUUUAGGGUUUCUUAUUUGGGGGAAAACGGUAAACAGCAUCGUUUUGUUCUUUGUAUGCUAAUUGUAUUUUCCGGCAAUCCACGUCGGCGUCAAAAAUUAAUAAAAAACUGCCACGUCGGAUUUCCGGCCAACCAAAUCAGCAAAGGCACCAAAGUGAUCAUUUUUCAAAAAAUUUGGCACUUAAGUAAUCCGACGGAAACUUUUGACACUAAAGUGAGCGUCGUACACAACUUAUGGCACCAUUAGUGUACUUAUCCCUAUUUUAUUGCAUUUUCCCUCAUAAGUUUACGACAAUAUUAAUUUAGUCAAGAAAUUUAAACAUUGAUAGGUUCAGGCUUCAGUAUAAUAAUAUUAGGACAGAUUGUGCAAUUAUCCUCAAAUAUGACAAUUCAAUAUUUUCAACCCCAUGCUCACACUCAACUCAAUGCAAUAUAUAUACUCACAUCAAACUCGAUUCAACUCUAACAUUAAAAACUAAAUUACAGUGUAAACCUUCUAACUCCAUCUCAAGUUCUCAUAAAAAAAAUUCAAAAAUAAUGAUUAUUUUCAAAUGUCCUUAGUAAAAAUCUUUAAAUUAUUAACAGGAUUGCAAGUCACGUGAUUGUAGUAUUACGAAAUUUGACACCUCCAACAAUGGCAACCCAUACUGUUAGUUUCAAAUUCAUGAAAGAGGGGGCGAAGUGCUUUUAUAUAUAUUGAUCUUUCUAGAACCAGCCCCUUAUUUAUUUUUUUUAUACGCAAUUAAACUGGUAAUUUGUAAAAAGGAACUUAUAGAAUUUAGGGAAAGAGAAAUUGCAAAAACUCUUUAUAGAGUUUCAAUUAGGAUAUGCCUUCUCUUCCUUCUAGCCAUAGCAGCCCAGUCGGGUUGAAAUCCACUACUUGAGCCAAUAGUGCAAAUGCCAAGAACUUUUGUACCGCGUGGACUCCACUCCUUCGAUAGCUAUGUCACUAUAGACUAAAUAACUAUUAGAUCUCUUUCAACAGCUAUUCUCGCACCUUGUGCACACGGUAUGGUAGACAUAUUUUCCCAAAAUUAUCAACCACACUUCUUAGUGUUUACAAGUAAUUAUUCACACACUUCGUCUCUUACCUAAACAAUUGUAUUCUCUCUAAGUACAAUCACUUCUUUCGUGUGUAUACAAAUGAUUUCGGCACCCGCUAACUUUUAGGAUCAAAACUCAAUUGACUACAAACGCUCAAUGUGCUUUGAUUUUUCUUGUUGCAAGAGCACUCGAUGACAAGCUACGUUUUACUUGUGGUUUGUCCUUCUAGGCCUCCAAUAAAAACUCUCAUGUUUCAAGUGUUCAAUUCAAGUUGAUUGUAGAAUGAGUUUCACUUCAUCACGCAAAAAAGAGACGUUAGAAGGGAUAUCUAGAAAUAAUUAGCAAAUGGAAAAAUUAGAAUGAUAAAGAGAGCGAGCAGAAGUUGGUAAGUUUACAAAUUUACUACAAUGUUGUGAGAUCAUUAUGGCAUUUGCAAUUUAUAUACGAAGAUUGUAAAAUUUCUGAAGAGUUGGUUAUUCACUAAUUCAUUUCGAAGCCGACAAAUUUCUAAUGGUACUGUUAAGUUGUUGAUAGGUUAUUUGGCAAUAAAAUUGAUGGUCAUGUUUUUCUUUUAUCGACUGCAAUAAAAUUGUGGGACUCAGCUAACAUCAAUAAAUAGAAGAAAGAAAAGUCAAAAAAGCAAAAAGGAAUAGAGAGAGAGGCUCCUUGUUCGUAAGAUCAAGAAAGACGAGUCGAUUGACUUUAUUUAUUCAAAACCUUCUCCAAAUUACCUCUCGUUUCUCUUAUUAUAAUCAGGAUUUCUUGCUUCACUUAUGUUAAUUUACUUUUAUGAUGAUAGAACCUUUGUGUAUAGUGAAAGUUUUUGGACUGUUUGUGAUUUUUUUAGCAUAGAAUUUUAUGUGUAAAAAUUGCUUGUCUUUUUUUAAUUAUUUUGGCAUUAUAUUAACUCAUUACAAGAUUGUACUGUAGGAAUAUAUUGCCAGUUAUUAUUGAAAUUGAGUCGAUUUUGGUCACAUUUAAUCUUGGGAGGAGAAAUUAAUUCUGAAUUAGGUUAAUUUUUGAUGAAUUGUUGCCGGUUCACUCCAACUAUGUAUCAAUAAUUUUGGAAAUCCAUCAAGAAAGGGAAAAUUUCCGCACUUUCCUUUGACUGACCCUGCACUCAAUGCCGAAAGCUUGCGUCAGCCGCACCUUUGAUUUUUGGUCUCAUCGACCAAGAGCAUUUGAUUUGAUGGUCUUCGUCGUUGUGAAAAAAAUAUGAUUACUGUCCCAAUCGCGUCCUGAUCGGCAUCUUUGAUUUAUGGUCUUCGUCGUCAUGAAAAAAUAUGAUUUCUAUCCCAAUCGCGUCCUCAUCGGACUCUUCGAUUUUUUUUUUUUGUCUCACCGGCCAAUAGCAUUUGAUUUUAUGGUCUCCAUCGCCGUGAAAAAAAUAUGAUUUCUGUCCCAAUCGAGUCCUCAUCGGCACCUUUGAUUCUUUUUAUCUCAUCGGCCAAUAGUAUUUGAUUUUAUGGCCUUCGUCGUCGUGAAAAAAAUAUGAUUUCUGCCCCAAUCGUGUCAUCAUCGGCCCAUGACAUCUUUUACUUGCUUUUCCCAGAACCACUCCAUUGUUGCCUCGAACGUGUUGACGCAGCUACGUUCCACGACUUUUAGCCAUUUCGUAUUGACCUAUCAAAGGGAUGAUCCAGUCAAAAAUGUUGUCCAGCAAAUUCCUUGUUCUCCCCCACUUUUUUAAGUUGAUAAUUUUUUGCUCAAAUGAAAAUCCUAAUUAGCUACUCCGAUCAAAUAUUGAUAUUUCCCUCUCCUCUUUCAAUAUAGUCCAAUUCAGUCGAUAGCAAAGAGAAAAGAGGGCAUGUCUCGAUAACAAUUAUAGAGCGCUUCUGUCCGUACCAUGUUUAGAGAUCAUUAGCAAAUGAAAUAUCUAACAUAAUAAGGAGAGCGAGUAGAUUGGUAUCAACUUCAAUUGAACACUGCAAUUUGGUACCAUCGUGUGCAAAUUUGAGUUCAGAAAAGGUCCACUCAGAACAGUUCAAGUUCAAGUUAAAGAGAUCUUUUUGAGAUCUUUUUCUUUAUUUGUUUAUUAAAGUUAAACAGAACAAGCCGGCUAUGUUGGGCGUGGAAUACGCGUUUCCAAAUAUCAAUUCCUCCCUUCCCUCUCCCUCGACAGACAUUUUUUUUCAUCGCAUCUACAAAUUCCACAGUAACACACUCCUCAUUAUCGUCAGUCAAUUUCAUCUAUUUUCAUAAAAUUUUAAGAAUUCGAAUGGUAUGUUCACCAAGCAAUUUUGGUCUUUUGUUUACUUCGAUUCUCAUGGACUAAUAGCAUUUGAUUUUAUGGUCUUCGUAGUAAAAUACUAUGACUUUCUGAUUCAACCAUGUUCUCGCAGACCCAUGGCAUUUAAAGUGGUUUUCUUAUAACCACUCCAUUACUUUGUUAAGAACAUCCAGUCAGAGAGAGAGAAAGAGAGAGAUCCACCAAGCAGAGCAAGCUACUGCUAUGGUGAGCUCAGACGAAAGAACGUCAUGGGGAGCAAAUACCAAGUAUUUCUAAGCUUUAGAGAACUCGACAUUAGACUCAGUGACUUCCUCUACCAUAGCUUAACUUAUGUUGGGAAUCUGUGCCUUUGGAGAUCGAAGAGCUACGUGUUGGUGAAAGGAUUGACGGAUUGCUUCAACGAGUGAUCAAUGACUCCAAGAUCUACAUAACCAUCUUCGUUCGAACUUAUGUUUCAAGCCCAUGUGUUUUCGCGAGCACACGCAGAUUGUAGAAUAAUCCAAAUCAAAAGGCAAUAAAGCGGUAUUUCACCCGCAACAAGGCCCAAGUGAGGCUAGCCUCACCCAAAUCUAGGAGAAGCCACCUUGCUCGUGACCCUCGCCAACCACUACAAGGAAUCCAAUGAGGAAGAAGAGGAAAAAGAAAAGAAAAAAGGAAAGAUUAAUUAAAAAUUUAGAAAAAAUAAAAAUAAAAAUUGUCAUGUCAAUGUUAGUCAAACAAUCGACGUCCACACUAGUCGAUCAAAAUUAAUCGGAUGAACUGAAUUGAUAUCAAUGUAAAAAAAUUUAUGAUUGAAUUAAUUUAAUUAGAAUAUUUAUAAUUGAAUUAAUAUCAAUACUAUAGAUUUAGGGCUUUAUUGAUCAUUUUUCAUAGCUAUCCCAUCAACAAACAAACAAACGGAGAAAAUUAUGGAGAUGCAGGUGCCUUGAGCGCCAGCCAACAGAAGCACGUGAUCAUCAUCUUUUAACAAGAAAAUGAAUGAUUGGAUAGCCUCGUUGAUAACAAGGAAGUGACAAGUGGUAAUUCCACUAGGGCAUCUACUUUCGGAAAAGGAUGGAUUCCCCCUUCUUCUUCUUCUUUUCUGACGGCCCAGGAACCUUGUACAGCCGACAGCCGGCCGAGCAAACCUAGGGUGACACUAGUGAAGGACCCACCACCCUAGCGCCACACUUAACACCCCAAAGGCAUACGCUGGGUUUCGAAUCCUUCCGUCCUGGGCAGACUUCGCGAAGGCUCUUAUCCAGCGUAACCACCACAAGCGGUGGUCCCCUUUUUUCUUUUGUACAUUAGCUUACGGUAAAGCGCCAAUGAGAGCAUUAAAUUCCAAAAAAAGAAAAAAGGCCUAUACACUUAUGUCUUUGGUCGGUGCUUAAAUCAUGUCACGGUGUUGUCGUUAUACUUAGACAAUCGAAAAUGAUUGAAGUGCCAUAUUAGAUAAAUUCGACGGGACUUAGCUGAAAUCUUUUAUUGCAUUAUUUCUGAUAAGUUUAAGAUUACAUUGAUACAAUUAAAGAGUUUAUACCUUCGUAGUUUCAAAUUUCGUUAAAACAAUUUUGAACUUUCCAACACUCCAUUACUUUGUUAAUGGAGCAAAUACCAAUUGUUUCUAAGCUUUAGAGGACCCGACACUCGCAUUAGACACAGUGACUUCCUCUACCAUAGCUUAACUUAUGUUGGGAUCUAUGUCUUUCGAGAUCGAAAAGCUACGUGUCGGUGAAAGGAUUGACGGAUUGCUUCAACGAGCGAUCGACGACUCCAAGAUCUACACACCUAUCUUCUUUCGAACUUAUGUUUCAAGCCCAUGUGCUUUUGUGAGCUCAUGCAUAUUGUAGAAUAAUCCAAAUCAAAAGGCAAUAAAGCGGUCCUUCACCCACGACAAGGCCCAAGUGAGGCUAGCCUCGCCCGAAUCUGGGAGAAGCCACCUUGCUCGUGACCCUCGCUAGCCUCUACAAGGAAUCCAAUGAGGAAGAAGAGGAAAAAGAAAAGAAAAAGGAAAGAUUAAUUAAAAAAUUAGAAAAAUUAAAAAUAAAAAUAAAAAUUGUCGUGCCAACAUUAGUCAAACGGUCGACGUCCACAUUAGUGCCGGCCGAUAAAAUUAAUCGGAUGAAUUGAAUUGUUAUCAAUGUAAAAAAAUUUAUGAUUGAAUUAAUUUAAUUAAAAUAUUUAUAAUUGAAUUAAUAUCAAUACUAUAUAUUUAGGGCUUUAUUGAUCAUUUUUCAUAGCUAUCGCACCAACAAACAAACAAACGGAGAAAAUUAUGGAGAUGCAAGUGCCCUGAGCGCCGGCCGACAGAAGCACGUGAUCAUCAUCUUUUAACGAGAAAAUGAAUGAUUGGAUAGCCUCAUUGAUGACAUGGAAGUGAUAGGCGGUAAUUCCACUAGGGCAUCUACUUUCGGAAAAGGAUGGAUUCUCCCUCUUUUUUUUCUUUUGUACGUUGGCUUACGGUAAAGCGCCAGUGAGAACAUUAAAUUCCAAAAAAAGAAAAAAGGCCUAUUCACUUAUGUCUUUGGUCGGUGCUUAAAUCAUGUCACGGUGUUGUCGUUAGACUUAGACAAUCGAAAAUGACUGAAGUGCCAUAUUAGAUAAAUUCAACGGGACUUCGCUGAAAUCUUUUAUUGCAUUAUUUCUGAUCAGUUUAAGAUUACAUUGAUACAAUUAAAGAGUUUAUACCUUCGUAUUUUCAAAUUUCGUUAUAACAAUUUUGAACUUUCCAACACUCCAUUACUUUGUUAAUGGAGAAAAUACCAAUUGUUUCUAAGCUUUAGAGGACCCGACACUCGCAUUAGACACAGUGACUUCCUCUACCAUAGCUUAACUUAUGUUGGGAUCUAUGUCUUUCGAGAUCGAAAAGCUACGUGUCGGUGAAAGGAUUGACGGAUUCCUUCAACGAGCGAUCGACGACUCCAAGAUCUACACACCUAUCUUCUUUCGAACUUAUGUUUCAAGCCCAUGUCCUUUUGUGAGCUCGUGCAUAUUGUAGAAUAAUCCAAAUCAAAAGGCAAUAAAGCAGUCCUUCACCCGCGACAAGGCCCAAGUGAGGCUAGCCUCGCCCGAAUCUAGAGAAGCCNNNNNNNNNNNNNNNNNNNNNNNNNNNNNNNNNNNNNNNNNNNNNNNNNNNNNNNNNNNNNNNNNNNNNNNNNNNNNNNNNNNNNNNNNNNNNNNNNNNNUAAAAAUAAAAAUAAAAAUUGUCGUGCCAACAUUAGUCAAACGGUCGACGUCCACAUUAGUGCCGGCCGAUCAAAAUUAAUCGGAUGAAUUGAAUUGUUAUCAAUGUAAAAAAAUUUAUGAUUGAAUUAAUUUAAUUAAAAUAUUUAUAAUUGAAUUAAUAUCAAUACUAUAUAUUUAGGGCUUUAUUGAUCAUUUUUCAUAGCUAUCGCACCAACAAACAAACAAACGGACAAAAUUAUGGAGAUGCAAGUGCCCUGAGCGCCGGCCGACAGAAGCACGUGAUCAUCAUCUUUUAAUGAGAAAAUGAAUGAUUGGAUAGCCUCAUUGAUGACAUGGAAGUGAUAGGCGGUAAUUCCACUAGGGCAUCUACUUUCGGGAAAAGGAUGGAUUCUCCCUUUUUUUUCUUUUGUACGUUGGCUACGGUAAAGCGCCAGUGAGAGCAUUAAUUCCAAAAAAAGAAAAAGGCCUAUUGACUUAUGUCUUUGGUCGGUGCUUAAUCAUGUCACGGUGUAGUUCGUUAUACUUAGACAAUCGAAAAUGACUGAAGUGCCAUAUUAGAUAAAUUCGACGGGACUUAGCUGAAAUCUUUUAUUGCACUUUUUCUGAUAAGUUUAAGAUUACAUUGAUACAAUUAAAGAGUUUAUACCUUCGUAGUUUCAAAUUUCGUUAUAACAAUUUUGAACUUUCCAACACUCCAUUACUUUGUUAAUGGAGCAAAUACCAAUUGUUUCUAAGCUUUAGAGGACCCGACACUCGCAUUAGACACAGUGACUUCCUCUACCAUAGCUUAACUUAUGUUGGGAUCUAUGUCUUUCGAGAUCGAAAAGCUACGUGUCGGUGAAAGGAUUGACGGAUUGCUUCAACGAGCGAUCGACGACUCCAAGAUCUACACACCUAUCUUCUUUCGAACUUAUGUUUCAAAGCCCAUGUGCUUUUGUGAGCUCGUGCAUAUUGUAGAAUAAUCCAAAUCAAAAGGCAAUAAAGCGGUCCUUCACCCGCGACAAGGCCCAAGUGAGGCUAGCCUCGCCCGAAUCUGGGAGAAGCCACCUUGCUCGUGACCCUCGCCAGCCACUACAAGGAAUCCAAUGAGGAAGAAGUGGAAAAAGAAAAGAAAAAGGGAAGAUUAAUUAAAAAAUUGGAAAAAUUAAAAAUAAAAAUAAAAAUUGUCGUGCCAACGUUAGUCAAACGGUCGACGUCCACAUUAGUGCCGGCCGAUCAAAAUUAAUCGGAUGAAUUGAAUUGUUAUCAAUGUAAAAAAAUUUAUGAUUGAAUUAAUUUAAUUAAAAUAUUUAUAAUUGAAUUAAUAUCAAUACUAUAUAUUUAGGGCUUUAUUGAUCAUUUUUCAUAGCUAUCGCACCAACAAACAAACAAACGGACAAAAUUAUGGAGAUGCAAGUGCCCUGAGCGCUGGCCGACAGAAGCACGUGAUCAUCAUCUUUUAACGAGAAAAUGAAUGAUUGGAUAGCCUCAUUGAUGACAUGGAAGUGAUAGGCGGUAAUUCCACUAGGGCAUCUACUUUCGGAAAAGGAUGGAUUCUCCCUUUUUUUUCUUUUGUACAUUGGCGUACGGUAAAGCACCGGUGAGAGCAUUAAAUUCCAAAAAAAGAAAAAAGGCCUAUUGACUUAUGUCUUUGGUCGGUGCUUAAAUCAUGUUACUGUGUUGUCAUUAUACUUAGACAGCCAAAAAUGACUGAAGUGCCAUAUUAGAUCAAUUCGACAGGAGUUAGCAGAAAUCUUUUAUUGUAUUUUUUCUGAUAAGUUUAAGAUUACAUUGAUUCAAUUAAAGAGUUUAUACCUUCAUAGUUUCAAUCGUUAUAUCAAUUUUGAACUUUCCAACACUCCAUUACUUUGUUAAUGGAGAAAAUACCAAUUGUUUCUAAGCUUUAGAGGACCCAACACUCGCAUUAGACUCAAUGACUUCCUCUACCAUAGCUUAACUUAUGUUGGGAUCUAUGUCUUUCGAGAUCGAAAAGCUACGUGUCGGUGAAAGGAUUGACGGAUUGCUUCAACGAGCGAUCGACGACUCCAAGAUCUACACACCUAUCUUCUUUCGAACUUAUGUUUCAAGCCCAUGUGCUUUUGUGAGCUCGUGCAUAUUGUAGAAUAAUCCAAAUCAAAAGGCAAUAAAGCGGUCCUUCACCCGCGACAAGGCCCAAGUGAGGCUAGCCUCGCCCGAAUCUGGGAGAAGCCACCUUGCUCGUGACCCUCGCCAACCACUACAAGGAAUCCAAUGAGGAAGAAGAGGAAAAAGAAAAGAAAAAGGAAAGAUUAAUUAAAAAAUUAGAAACAUUAAAAAUAAAAAUUGUCGUGCCAACAUUAGUCAAACGGUCGACGUCCACAUUAGUGCCGGCCGAUCAAAAUUAAUCGGAUGAAUUGAAUUGUUAUCAAUGUAAAAAAAAUUAUGAUUGAAUUAAUUUAAUUAAAAUAUUUACAAUUGAAUUAAUAUCAAUACUAUAUAUUUAGGGCUUUAUUGAUCAUUUUUCAUAGCUAUCGCAUCAACAAACAAACAAACGGAGAAAAUUAUGGAGAUGCAAGUGCCUUGAGCGCCGGCCGACAGAAGCACGUGAUCAUCAUCUUUUAACGAGAAAAUGAAUGAUUGGAUAGCCUCAUUGAUGACAUGGAAGUGAUAGGCAGUAAUUCCACUAGGGCAUCUACUUUCGGAAAAGGAUGGAUUCUCCCUUUUUUUCUUUUGUACGUGGGCUUACGGUAAAGCGCCAGUGAGAGCAUUAAAUUCCAAAAAAAGAAAAAAGGCCUAUUGACUUUAUGUCUUUGGUCGGUGCUUAAAUCAUGUUACUGUGUUGUCGUUAUACUUAGACAACCGAAAAUGACUGAAGUGCCAUAUUAGAUCAAUUCGACAGGACUUAGCAGAAAUCUUUUAUUGUAUUUUUUCUGAUAAGUUUAAGAUUACAUUGAUUCAAUUAAAGAGUUUAUACCUUCAUAGUUUCAAUCGUUAUAACAAUUUUAGGAUAGAUUGUGUAAUUAUCUUGAAGGCAUGACAAUUUAGGUUUUUCAAUCCCAUGAUCGUGCUCAACUCAAUACAAUAUAUAUGCUUGCAUUAGACUUGAUUCAACUCUAAUGGCAAAAACUAAAUUACAGUGUAAAGCUUUACAAUCCAUCUCUAUUUCUGAUAAAAAAAAUUCAAAAUAAUGAUUUUUUUCUUCUUUUUUUUUUUGGUAAGUAUGAUUUUUUUUCUUUUGUCCUUAGUAAAAUCCUUUAAAUUAUUGACAAGGCUUGCAAGUCACAUGACUAUGGUAUUACAAAAUUUGACACCUUUGGCACGCACUCCAUAUCACUAGGUCCAAAUAUAUAAAAGAGGAAGUGAAGUGCUUUUUUAUGUAUGUAAAAAUAUCGAUCUUUCUAGAACCGGCCCUUUAUUUAAAAGUUGUUUUUCAUAUACAAUUAAACUGAUAUUUGUAACAAGAAACUUAUAGAGCUUAAAGUUUUCAAUUAGGAUAUGCCUUCUCUUUUAGCUCCAGCAGCCCAAUCAGGUUGAAAUCCACUACUUGAGCCAACAUUGCAAAUGCCAAGAACUUUGUAUAGUGCGAUUCUUUCUAUGAUUAUCUCACUAUAGACUAAAUAAUUAUUAGAUCUCUUCCAAUAGCCAUUCUUACACCUUGUGCACAUAGCGCAGUAGACACAUGUUCCCCAAAAUUAUUAACCACGCUUCCAAGUGUUUACAAAUAAUCAUUCGCAUAGUUUGUCUCUCACCUAGACAAUUGCAUUCUCUCUUUGUACAAUCACUUCUUCCAUGUGUAUACAAAUAUUUUUGGCACCAUUGCUAGCUUUUAGGAUCAAUACUUAGUAAAGAGAUAGAUCUCAAGAACGCUUGAUGUGCUUCAAUUUUUCUUGUUGCAGGCACUUGAUGGCAAGCUCCGUUUAACUUGUGGUUUGUCCUUAUAGGCCUCCAUAAACAACUCUGUGAUUCAACUGUUUCCUCACCGUCCCAUAUCAUUUGAUUGUUUUACUCGUAUAACCACUACUUUUUUUUUCAUGACGUGUUGUCGCGACCACCUUCUACAACUCUCAACCAUUUCAUAUUCACAUAUCAAAGAAAUGACCUGCUCAGAAACUUUAUUUAGAAAAAAUCCUAACUAUUAAACCGCAUCACUGACCUCCCUCCUCUUUUUCUUUAAGGUAGCAAUUUUACGUUCAUAUGAAAUAUCCUAAUUAACUACUCCUGGUCAAACAUUCCUAUUUGGCUCCUUUGUUUCAACCAUCCGAUUUGAGUUGAAACGCAGAAUGCGUUUCAUUUUCAUCACAUGAAAAAGGAACUUUAAGAAAGAGUAGUUAGAGAUCAUCAGCAAAUGAAAAAAAAAUCGAAAUGAUAAGGAGAGGGAGUAGAAAUUGGAGCUUACAAAUUCAGUACAAUGCUGCGAGACCUACUAUACUGUUGGCAAUUUAUUUGCCAUACUUGUAAAAUUUCAGAGAAUGUGGUUAUUCACUAUUUCAUUUCAAAGUCGGUAAAUUUCCAAUGGUGUCGUUAAGUUUGAUAAGUCAUCUAACAAUCAAAUUGACGGUCAUGCUUUCUUUUAGGGAUUGUACUGGAUAUUUUGGUUGGCCGGGUCCGCCUCUGUGGGGACCAGCUAACAUUAAUAAAAAAAGAGAAAAAAGGUGAAAAAGUCAAAGCAAAAAAGAAGAAAAGAAAGAUGGGCGGCUCGUGCGCGGAGUACAGGAGAGAGGACAGAGAGAGGGCACGCGGAGAAGAUAGAAACCAUGUAGUUGACAUUUGAUUAACUGAAGAGAGAUUUGGUGUUUCAGUUUACUUAUUGUUAUCGGACCAAUGAAGAUGUCAUUGACAGAUAAAGAUGCAUUCAGCUUGAUCUCUUUCAUUUUAUUACCCAAUUGUGUUUUCUCGUUUUUCUCUUCUUUUUCUACUCCUUUUUCAACUUUUUCUUUCCUUUCCUUCCAUGAGAAAGUUCCAAAAGUUUGGAUAAGCUAGGGGACAAGGUCAGGUGGUAUCAAAAUAAGUGGAAGAGCCUCAGUAAUCCAGAAGAAAUGUCAUCGUUCAGUUUGUUAUUAUUUAAAAAAGUUCUUUUCAAUGUUUCAUGCGUUGCAAAUAAUUUGCUCAUCAUAUGUAAAGGAUGUAGUCUUAGAGCAUAGGUCACGUGGUCCACCAAGUUAACUGGGGUGGAGUAGAGUUAUUUUCUUCUACUCAUUUAACUCGUUACAUAGGAUUUCUCUCUCUCUCUCUCUAUUUUUAUUUUUGAUAACUCAUACCAUACUUUUACUCAAUCAUCUAUGAUAUACAUGAAAACUUACUAGUUGAAUCUCGAUAAGUACCAAUAUAGAAGGUUUUGAGGUUGUGAUCUAUAAAAUUUGACCUGAUGAGACGUCUGUAGGCAUGUACAAUUUUGAAUAGAAGAGAAAUAGCAGGUCAAUAAACAACAAAAAGGAAAAGAGGAGAGGGAAGGCUUUGUCUACUUGAUGUCACUAGAAAAUUUUAAUUGGAUGAUUUGUAGUCAAUAGGACGAGGCUUUGUGAACCUGAAACGUGUUUUCAUGAGUAAUUCAUUGAAAAACCAUACCUUCUGCAAAGCAUGGCCAUCCAACCUAGUGUUUGAUGGGUAGGGUGGUUAUUUAGUUUAGCAUUGUCUAGGCCUGGUACUUUUUCGAUACUAUGACAUUGUUUCUCAUUUUCUUUUCCUUUUUCUUUUAUUGUGUCAUGAGGAAGAUUAUAUUUUAAAUGGAUGUCAGACCCAUAAAAUAUCCUAUUAACCUCAUGUACCUAGUGAGGUUUGAGCUAAAACUCGGUUUGUUGGUACCAACAUGAAUUGUUUGCAGUGGUUAGUGAGGAAAACCGAACUUAUGUUGUGCAUGUUACCCCCACACAUUUUUCUAUUCCUUAAGAUUUUCUAUUCUAAAAAAAACAAUGGAAAUCUAAUUGGUGGAUGAUCUAUUUGUACAUCCUCCCUACUUUUGGGCAGUUUGAAAGUCACUUAAAAUAGGAAUUAAAGUAGUCGAUCACUCCAGAAUUUAUUUUUCAAUCGUGAAGAUUUUAUUUCAGGUAGAGUGUAAAGUCAAUUUCUGCCACUCUUUUGAAUUUUGAUUCGUAGGUUGACUCUUGGCUUUAACUUCCACAAUAAUUUAGCCGAUUGUAUGCUUGAAAAGUUCUUAAUUUCGCUGGAUUGGGAACAGAUUAGUUUUCAUCAAAAUUGUGAAAUACCUAUGAAACAUAUUGUUUCAUUAUCCUUCUUGUAUAACUAUGCUAAAUAGAAAGGGGAAAAGGAAGAGGGAAGGCUUAUCUAUUGAUUUAUAACUAGCCUUGGUCAAUUUCUGGUAAUAACAUGUUUAUCUAUCUUGGAAGCUUUUAUCUAAGGCAGAUUAGGCACCAAGCACGUAGAAUAUCUUAUUUAUCUCAUGUAGCAGGUAUGGUAUGAGUUAAUGACAAGGGGGAUGUUGCUUCGAUAUGAAAAUGUUUGCAUUUGGUGAUGUGAGAAAUUCCCACGAGAUUUAUAUUUUUAUAUGAUACUGGUUCCUUUUAUAUAUAGAUCAUUUAUCGUAUUUCCAUCUCAACAAACGCAGUUGGACCUAUAUAUUUGACUUUCAUAAGUAUCUUUCGAGAAAUUUAGAAGAGCCUCUAUCUGUGUUCUUGCACAUAGUAUUCAUUGACAGAGAUUAAACACAACUGGUUGGUUUGAUUGCAUAAUUUUAUCAUCUUAUUCCUUUUUUCAAACUUUCUUGCAAGAUUGAUUGCAGUUUUAUUUUUCAGGAGUCGUGCUUCGAUUGGAUAUGUUCAUGAUUCGGAGGAGGCUUGUGAAAUUGUGAAGACGACUCGCAUCAUACUUGUCAACAUGUAGGGAUGGAACUAUCAUACAUUUUUAGUGGGUCAAUGCCCUAAAGACAGUAAGAUAAGGUAUUUCAUUUAACAAAAAAAGUAUAAAGAUGCGAUCGAGCUAUUUAUUGAUUUGAAGUAGUUUUUCUACGCAAAGUCUGACUUGAAAUCAACGCUUUGACAUUGAAUCGUGAAUGUGAACAAAAUUCGGUUUCAAAUCCCUAUGCUCAAGCUCAACUCAAUAUAGUAUAUACGGCUCGAAAUCGAACUCGAUUCAACUCCAUUAUUAAAAGCUCAAUUCUACUCAUUUAACUUGUUACGUAAGAUGUUUCUUUCUAUUUUUCCUAAUCAUAUACUAUACCUUCUGCAUAGCCUGGUCAUGCCAUUCGAUUGCUUUAUCUUCCGACUCUAUCAAGCCUCGUGUUUGAUUGGUGGUGUGGUCGUCUAGUAGUGCAAUGUCUAAGCCCGAUAAUUUUUUUAUAAUUGUUUAUCUUUUUACUUUUCUGUUUUUUGCGUCAUAAAGAAGUUUAUAGUACAUGGGAAAGACAAAAUACUGAUUUUGAUUUCUUGCAAGUUAGCGCAUGGUCCCUUAGAGGGCAACAAGGCUAAGCCUAAUUACAUCGAUGAACAAUGGAAGUUACUAAGAAGGCAAUGUGGGGUUUCAUUAGGCGUCAUCAGUUGGAUUUUAUUUCUUUAGAUAAACCAUAAGGAUCCCAUCCCACUGCUCCUUUUGCUCUUCCAAUUUCCAUCUUUUGGCAAUGGAAAACAGUAGCCACAACAAAACCGAUAUAAAUUAAGGAAUCGUUAGCUAGAUCCUAUGAGAAACAAUUGAUGUCGUCUCAUCCAUUGAUCGUCAAACUCUCAAGAUUAUAUGUCACAAUCGCACUUCCAUUCACUCACGGAACACUUCCUGGAUAUGUCCUUCCUCGGCACUUCAUUUCGAGUUGGGAUUAAUAGUUCCCCAGUACAGAUUGGAGUACGAAGCCCACCCAAAAAAUCAAAUAAAAUAAUCCGUUCUAUUUUGCCAGUAUCACUAGCUAACUUAGUUCCGAUGACUCUCUUCAGAAUAUGAGGCAAUAAUAGAGCAAAUAUGUCAAACGGUUCUCCACCAAGAGCAAGGACUCUUUUAUUAUGUUGGAUUGAUUGGUCGAUUUACGACAUUUUGUAUAGAAAUUACGAAAAAAUGCAAAUAAUUAUAAUUCGUUAUAAUUCAAAAAUUUAUUUAUUGAUGACCAUAAAACUGCUCAUGUAUUAUAAGAAGAAAUUCGAAAAAGCCUCUAACACAAAAGUUAUUCAUUGCAUCGAAUCUCCAACAUUGUAUAGUAGAUUAGACGAUCUAUCACCAUGCAUUAUUCAAGUUUCACACUCAAACAUAAAUACAAGCUUCUAAAUUCAUAAGCAUUCAAUAAGAUAAGAAAGACUAUUGUAAUUUAUGUCUCAUUUAUUGUCUAGAUUAGACAAGCCGGUACUCUUCCAUGCUUGCACUUCUCACCCCACUGUAGCCAUUGCCACCCCAACACUUCUGCCGCCGCCUCCGCCGCUGCCUUUGCCUCCGCCGCCGCCGCCUCCCUCGCCGCCUUUGCCUCCGCCGCCGCCUUUGCCGCUUCCUCCCCCGCCGCCUUUGCCUCUGCCGCCGCCUCCACCGCUUCCUCCCCCGCCGCCUUUGCCUCCACCGCCGCCUCCCCCGCCGCCUUUGCCCCCGCCCCCGCCUUUGCCACCCCCGCCUUUGCCUCCCCCGCUGCCUUCGUUGCCACCCCUGCCUCCGCCGCCGCAACCGCAGCCGCCGCCUCCGCCUCCGCUGCCUUCUCCACCACCACCUCCGCCGCCGCCUUCACUCGCCUCCGGAUGUAAUAGAAAAGGAAACCACAAAGCAUGAUGACAACACAUGACUACACCAACAAUAACCAACGUUGGAAUGUUAUUGUCAUCGGAUGAUACGGAAUUCGGAUCGAUCCAUCCCAAUGGAGGAGGAAAGUUCUGGAAACUCGGAUGAAUUUGUGGAUAGUUACUAUUCUCCAUCAAGAAAACUCUAUGGGGGUAGUUCAAUGCGAGCGGUGAGUCUACAAACAUAUUAUGAAGCAUCAAUCCGAGAGCCAAUUUACUCUUUUAUCAUGAUGAAUUGAUCAUAUGGUCCGAGCGCGAGAUUGAAAUGAUUCAAGAUGGAAUUCAGCGAGAUAUAAUAUGAGUGGAAGUAGGUGCUUGCACAUAUACCUUCACAAGAAGAACCAAGAAAAUCGGUGAAUGAUGUUGCGCCAAUGCUUACAUGAUUUGCAAAGAAGUGAGAAUUUUUGCCUGGUGGAGCAUAGCCCUAUAUAUGCCCCGCGCCGCUGCCUCCCUCACAGGGUGGGUUGGGUAAGUGUUUUAAUCAAUGCAUCACCUGUCUUUUUUGAGGGUGUAGUGUAAUAAUUGAAGCAUCUGGACAAAUAGUUGGGAAAUUUUAUUCACGUGCCAAAGAUCGUAAAAAUUAUCAAAAGAAUCAUAAAUCUAUUAUAAUUGUACUAAUUAAAUUAUAAAUAUUUUUUAAUCAAUUAAGUGCUAAAUAUUUUAUAUUUAUAUCAAUUCAAUUUGUCCGAUCAAAAUUGGCUACCCAACACUAAAAUGAACACCGUCGGUGCUGACGUGGAUAAUUUUUAAUAAUAUUUGAAUAUUUUUUCGAUUUGUAUUCCUAUUUUUCUUUUUAUAUUUUUUUUUCCUUUUCUCUUUCUUUCUUUUUUUUUUCUUCACUCCCUUCUUCCUUCGGCUGGUUGCCAGCGACCACUAGAAAUGAAGCUCCAGGAAGAACAGGAUGAACUUCAACUACUGUCUAGGCUCGAUCAGGUCUUCAUGUGUGAUGGUCCGGAGCUGGGAUUUAGGCCCAUUGAAAUGAUAUACAUGUUUGACUAUUCUGACUAUUCACAAUCUAAGGUGGUAAGAUUUUGGUGAAGGGCCAAGAAAAACAAUCAGGUCUGAAAUGAGAAAUUAUUAUAUGCUCUACAAAACGUGUGACUCAAUAUCAUCUUGAUCGUUAAUCCAAUAGAUCUCGCUAUGGCCCCCGGGAUCAAUUGUUGAACUGGUUUCGACAUGAGAUUUAUAGAACAUACAAUAACAUUUCAUGCACAAUGGGGUUACAGACGUGACCUAAAAAAUAAAUUCACUCUACUAUCCAAAAUAAAGUCCAGAAAAACUUAUUUUAGAGCCGACCUGCUAAGGAUAUAAGAGACCCACUGCCAAUUUGUUUCUAUUUCGAGUAUUGUAAAAACGUAGGAAAAUGUUCUAAAAUCCUCCUGAACUUAAACUGUCUUAGAUGGACACAUCAAAAAGUCACUAAUCUCACUCCUCGUGUUGGUUCAUUCUUGCCUACAUCUCUCUUAUAUGGUCAUGGGACUCAUGUCCGAACAAUACUAAAAAACAGCCAUGUCGCCAGCUAAUUAGAACGAUGGAAUUAAACGAUGAAACGUGGGGAAAACGACGUAAUGGCAAAGUCCGUCGUCUUGUCACAGUCGGCCACGAUCGUGUGUGUUUAGAAUCUUAUCCUUCCGACUUGAUUCGCCAUCACAUCAUUUUUAACCCCCAACUUUCGGACUCUUGGGUCUGUUGCUACCCCUGUGUCGCAAUAAUGAUCCAAUGCCACAAGAAAAGACCACUAGAUAGAUCCGACAAAUGCAUAAAUUGAAUCUAAUAAAAAAUCAAUUCAAAUUGACAUAUUUUAUUCAUUUUGACUCAUUUUCAUACAAUAAAAAUCAACUUACUCAUACACGACCUCACUCAUAUUUGACUUGACCUAUAUAUAUAAAACACUUCCAUAUUUAACCUAAUUUAAGAAAAUUCAUACUCAAACUAAAGUGAGAGUAAUUUAUGAAUUUAAUUAACACCCAUAUUAUUUUAAGUUUAAAUCAUUCAUAUAAUUAAAAAAAAUAGACUUAUAGCCCAUUUUAAUAGGUCUCUCAUCAAAUAAACAUGAUAUCCUGACAUUUAUGGAAAAUUGUCCCAAUUAUGUCACAUUGCAUAUACAUGUAAGAAGGAAGAUUGGGACAUCUCCCAAAAAUCAAGUACGUCAUCGACAUUGCAUCAGUUGAGAAAAGAGCAAGAAGAACCAUAAAUUAUAUGUUCAAUUCUACUUGAUUCAAAUGGGAUGUUGCCUGCCUUUGGGGAAGGACAUACAUGAAACGCAAUAACCAAAAUGCACAGAAGACUAGCGACUAAUAGUCACUAAUAAAGAUAUGGAAAAACACAUAAUGGAAAGAUUGUGUUGGAUUCCAAAGAAUUGAUAAUGUUCAAAUACCACCGAAAGAAAAAGGCAUCUUUUGUGUCAAGACCGCUCUCCUUUCUCAAGAUAAAGUUGACAGUGUCCUCCACAGUGUCUAGGACCUGCAUAGGUAAACAUAAAAGAGUUCAAUUGGGGUAAGCAAUUUUUGGAUGCACUUUUAAUCUUGGAAAAUUUGGAGAGAAGACAUAUUCCCCAUAAAAGUUGCUUUCAAUUGGGCAUAUUUUGGAAAUACUGACAUUUUGCUAGGCUGAAGAAGGAAAAGGUUCAGUCAUGUUUCAUCCAACCAAUUUAGAAUUGACCGAUCACCCAAAGUAGGGAAAAUUCCAAAUAAGGAUUUGAAAUGGACCAAUUUUCUCAAAUAAGAACCCAAAAUUAAUUUUAUGCCAGAUAAAGACCUAAGGUGAACCCAUUAUCUCAAAUAAGGAUUCGAAGUAGUUGAAUCAAUUCCAAAUAAGAACCUAAGUUUGCUAGUCAACUAAAUAUUCGUCGGCCAUCAAGCAUGUAACAUUUCUAACGACAGGAGUUUGGGCAAUUUUGUCCAAAAAAGUUAUAAGGAAAAGGGAAUUCCAAAUAAGGAUCUGAAGUAAAUCAAUUUUCUCAAAUAAGGACUUGAAAUUAACUUUAUGUCAGAUAAAGACCUAAAGUGAACUCAUUGUCUUAAAUAAGAACCCGAAGUGGUUGAAUCAAUUCCAAAUAAGAACCUGAGCUUUGUCGGCUAUCAAGCAUGUGACAAUUCUGACGAUGGAAGUUUGGACAAUUUUGUCCAAAAAAAUUAUAAGGAAAAUUCACAAAUCCUAAAAUAGCAAAAAAAAACCAUAGGUUUUCUACGGUCUUCCCGUUCCUUGUACCCGUCCCCUACAAAGUCAAAGACCAAAAAGUUCUCCCCAUUCCUUGUACCUAUCCUUCACAAAGUCGAAGACCCAAACUCUCCACCUAUUGAAGCACGCAUUAAAAAACAAGAAGAAAACCAUUUCUUUGUUUGUUUGCGGAGACCCAAAUUCUCCGCCAAUCGAGCAAGGCGAGGAGCGACGAGAAUCGAGUCACGAUGACAACCAAGCAGCGAUUUGGUUGAGGAAUAGCGAGGGAGAAGAAAGAAGAAAACGUAAACAUCUAAAUAAAUAACCUAAACUUAAUUAAUUUAGAAUUUUCCAUUUUUUUACAAUCACAAAUUUCUAACAAAAUUGCCCCUAUUUUAAUCGAUGGAAAAUGUUUGCUGACGAGCUAAGGUCUUUAAUAGAAAUUAACUUAAUUACUUCGGAUUCUUAUUUGACACAAAAUUCACUUUAGAUCAUUCUUCGAAACAAUUAAUCCACUUCGGGUCCUUAUUUGACACAAAGUUCACUUUAGGUUUUUAUUUGAGAAAAUUGAUUCACUUUGGGUCCUUAUUUGGAAUUUUCUCCCCAAAGUAUAGCAAAUCAAGGUACAUAAGAAUGGGAGGAUUAUCCACGCUGACAGCUCAAAACCACUUGAGGCCAUGUUUGGUUCAUUGCUCUGGAAUCAUGAAAAGGAAUCUCAAUCUAAGCAAUCGAAUUCCUAGAUGUGGGGUUCAUUCUCUAUUGUCCGGUUUCAAUAUACAAAUGGAGGGAGAAACGUCUGAUGUGAGAUGCAAAGUGAGGUAAAAACAUGUCAGAAAUGGAAUGUGAAAUAUUUCUCCAAUCCACAUAUCCAAAGUGGCUAAUGAAAAACUAGGGAUAGAAACAGAAUGAAGAACCACAUACGAUCCCCAACAAUUUCCCGAUUAUUGUCAUCUAAAAUGAUCAUACAAUUCACACAAGCAUUUCACAAACACAUUACAUAUAGCUCCUCAAGAUAUUGUGAGUCAAGCAUUUCACACAUAAUCUGCAACAAUGAAGAUAAAGCCAUUCCCAUGUAACUUCUGUUAAAUUAAUGUCUCAAAUUUGAAUUCAUAUAACGAUUUGAUGAAUCGAAUUUAUUGAUAAAGAUUUCUCAAGUAGAUUUUAAAUUGGAUGAAUAAGCCCUUCUUUUUUUGGAUUCCUUAUAUUUGCACAAAGGAGUAAAUAAAAUAAAGAAAAAAAAUUAAGGGUUAUCUACUCUCUCUCUUUUUUUUUUUGUACAUGCAGAAGAAGGCAGAAGAAGAAUUGAUAGUGGAGAAAAGAAUCCAAGGUGGGGCAAAGUCAAAGUUUUGAUUUUGGGCACACACACAAUAUAAAAGGCAUGUUUUCAGCGGAAAAGGAAAGUGAAGCCCUAAAAAAAAAAAAAAAGCCGCACAUCCACACGUAUAGACGCCGUACAACCCUUGAAGAGGUAGAGAAUGCGAAGCUAUACAUACGUGGAUUGGCGUACAUAGAGCAUUUUAUUUUGACCUUGAAUGCGCGGUACUUUGAGCUUGAAUGCACGGAAAUUUUGUGCAGUAAAUUUAUGUCCAAGUGAAUUGUUUAUUUAUAAACAUUUUUGGUUUGGACUUAAAUCUAGGUGUGGGAAACACUCAAGCGUGUGAGAGAUUGUAAACUCUAAUUCUCCAAUUAUAAUGGAUUAUUUGCUACUAGUUCUCCCCGUGGACGUAGAUACUAAUACUCGGACCAAACCACAUAAAUUUCCGAUGUCCUUAUUAUUUCUCGUUUAUUUCUCUAAUGGUUUUGCGUUAACAUAAAUUGCAAGAUUCUAUCGUUUUCGAGUAUUAUAUUCCAACAACUUCAAACUACUUCACAGCUGUGAUAUUCUUAUCCUUAUUGUUUUUUGAGUCAAAGACCCAAUCACGAGAACAAAUGGAGUGAAUGCAACUCAGCCAAGUGUGUUAAUGGAACUUUAUAUCCCCACCCAAGCCAAUGUGAUGUACGUAGUGGCAUCUCCAUUAACAGACCACACAAGUUUCACAAUAGCGAGAGAGACAAAUAAUUUCACCUAGUAGAGGAAUGUGAGGGCCAUGGAAUCAAGAGGCAGGCGAAACUCCCAUGGAAGGAUUUGAAGAUGAUGAAUGGAGAGAGAGAGAGUUCUGGCUUUCUAGGAUUUGAAGAUUUAUGAAGCUCAAGAGUACUAAGCGUGUUGGGUUCAUGAAUGUUUUUUCCUCCUGGGAAUCCAGUACCACCUCUACCCGAGCAAUCCAGUUUUGCAUUAGGAGUAUCCAUUAACUAGGCACUUUGAUUAUAUGAUCAUAAAUCCAUCUAUAGAUGAGCUGCAAUAGCAUUCCAUUUCAUGUUUAUUACUCCAAGGUGAACCGAACAAGGCCUAAGUGAUUACACGAUAUACCAUACUUCUGAAUGUUUUCAUGGUGGAAUCAAUGAUCUGCAGUCUCAACCAUGACUUUCCAGAGGAUCAUGUAUCUAAAAUCUCUAAACCAAAGAAGUGAACAUGCACAUGAUUCGCUUACUUAAGAACCUACCAUCAACUCACCCCAACGUACAUGCAAGGAGAGAUGAGAGAGACAGAUAGUUAGUACAUGCAUACGCACUCUUCCAUGUCUUUUCAAUUCAUAUAAUAUAAUAUAGGUAGUGCAUUUCCCUAGUUUCCAAGAAGAAAGCACAUGAGAUGAAAGAUAUUAGAUGUGUUCUUUGAUAUCCACGUACACGUACAAGAUGUGUGCAUUCAAUAAAGUCCAAUUUCACAGUUUUGAACCUACUAAAUUGUGUACCUAUAAAUAAUUCUUGUACAGGAGAAUUCUUAUUAAGCUAAUAAUACACAUGCACAAUAUUUUAUUUCGUGAUCCCAGAUUUUAAUAAUCAUGAGUGAGAUAGAUGAAAAAAGCAAAUGUUAUCGAAAAUGCUCAGUCCCGAUUUACAUUAGCGUGCCACAUUUCUCAUUGGACAUUGGUCAUGGAGAUAAUCCAACAAAUCCUUACCUAUUUACCAGUUGUUUAAAAGGUGUGUGGCCCUGUAUGACCUGCAAAUUAUCUUGGUCAAAAUAUGAGAGAAAAACGAAACAAAGUAGUUCUGGACCUUAUAACAAGCAAAAUCGUGAGGGCAAGCAGAUUUUGUAACACAAGAGAUGAACUACCUGUGAAGGUAGAAUGUUGACUCCUAGUAGUUGACCUAAGCCCUGGGCUCUUUUGGAUUCAGAAAAGCCACCUCCUGCAUCAGCCAUUGCUAUUAGCAGUGUGCAGUAAACAUUAAUUAUCACUUCGUCAGGAAUUAACAAGUGAAAUUAAUUAUUUCAAGGGAGUAACCUAUUAUAUGAUUAUAGGUAAGGGCAUCUCAAAAGGCGUCACAUAUUCAAAUUGCUUGAAUGACUUAAACAUAAGAUAGCGGCAAUCUCAAAAUCAUCAAAACGAUUACUGUUAGAUCUUAAAAGUACCAAUACUUGCUGAAAGUGAAUAAUCAACCACAAUAAGCGUAUGAUGCCCAGGAUGCAACUUGAAAACUUUAGUUUGACCAUCAUAUCACGGCACUCACCGGUGAUGACUCUAUAGGAACGGUCACAUUCGCUAACACACAUCGAAAGUGAGAAAUGUAAUAGUAAAGGUUACUAACACAUUUAAGCAAUUUCGAACACUCACCAUUUGUUAAGAACACGAAAGGUAUCUUCAAAUCUCCUGAAAAGAUGUAGAACAUAAAGUAAGUGAUAGCAGUUUACAAAUAGCAGAUACGAAUCUCGAUAUCCGCCGCCCUUUACUGUCCAUCAGAAAUUUCGGUAGCAAUCAGUUCGCAACGUAGAACAUUGGAAGACAGAUGAAACAGCACGAUCGCCAGCAUGAGACAAGCCUCGCAGGUAUAUCAGCAAGCGAUGGCGAAAGCUUUAGCAGAAUCGUAGUACAAUCUCCUCAGCGCGCGGGGAGAACCGCGGACGGGAGUGUGACCGAGGAGGACCACGCCGUCGAUGUCAAAGGCGAUGCCAAACGAAGGCCUGCACGACGAAACCACGUUUGUCGAUUCGAUCACGGACUAAAAGAAGAAGAAGAGAAAAAGAGAACAUCGGAGAAUAUCACGAGCGUAGUCGAAGCAUGACCGGAACGCACCGAUCCGAUUGCGAGCUAAGCCGCGAAAACAAGCGCGAGGUGAGCGGGGACGGCUGCUUUCUGCCACGACUCCGCGAGGCGAUGGUGAAAAGCCGGUGCCUCAUUUUCCUGUUCGCGGUGAAUCGCUUCGGGAGAUCGAGGAGCUCGAAUCGCCGGAGAUGAAGCUCCAAGAAGAACGGAACGAGCUUCAACAGUCCAUAGAGAAUAGAGGAGAGAGAGAGAGAGAGAGAGAGAGAAUGGCGCAAUCGCGCAGCGUCUUCUCGUUCGAUGUUCAGGGGCCGUGAAUUGGGCCCAGUGAAAUGAUGGGCGGGCCUCGAUAACGCAUCGGCCUUUCCUUCGGAUCCGAGCUCAACGGUUAAGCUUGAUUUUGGUGAACGUUUUUGGGCUGUUUUCUUUAGUUCUUUCAUUUUUUGUUGUAUUUUUCUCUUCGGGCCUAGUAAUUUGGGCUCCUUGUCUCGGAACCUCUCGAGAGAAUCGUCAACUGCAUCUUUGGUGCACCUGGUGCAUGUACAUCUAGGAAUUCUCAAUGGGCUAGUCGUAAAUGGCCCCACCCUAGGACUAUGAGACCAAUGGUUAUCCCAAACCUACACCGAGAUGUUGACGGUGAUUUUCAAAUUAUUGAAAAACAGGGUGUGAUAUGAUGAAAUAGGAUGCAAUAGAGACAAACACAAAAAAUGAACGGAUUGCUUUCUUCUUUUUUUCUUUCUAUUUCUUCGUAGCAUAGUUUGGAUUAGUUGCGCAAAAUACUUGUACUCUAUGAGACACACUCUGAUUAUAGAACAAAGUCACUUUGUCUGGUUUUUCCUUUUUCAUGCUUUGCCCUCUGGCUAAUUUAAAGAUGUUGCCAAAAUUCUGGUAAAACUAUGAAAUUCUGCUCUUUUCAUGGCUAUAUUUGAUGUGAAGACUAACAUAUCGAACACCUACGACACCACUAUUCUAGCAUGUCUUUUUUUUUUAUGAAAAUAUUAUAGCGUGCGUUUGACGACUCAAAGUCUAAGGGGACAAACUUCUGGUGGGGGACCGCGAAAAACAAUCAGGUGGAGAAAUUAUUGCAUGCUUCACAAACUAUACAAACCAAUAUCAUCUCGGUCAUUAAUCAAAUAGAUCUCACUAUGAGUUUCGAUGUGUGAAUUAUUGAACAAAAUUUCGACAUGUGACUUAUAGGCCAUACGAUACAUCUUCAUACGAAAUGGAGUUGGUCAACGAAAAUUCACACUAUUGUCCACAAUCGAGUCCACAAAAAAUUAUUUCAGAGCCAACCCAACUAAGGUAAAAGAGAUAUGCAGCCAAUUCAUUUAUCUUUUUUAGUAUUCUAAAACGUCGGAAAAAUAAAACACUUGUCUUAGGCCCUGUUUGGUUCAACUUUCCUAAUGGGCUUUGAGCUCCUAAAAGCCCUUGGGGAAAAUAUUUUGUGCUUGGCAUGUAUUUUUAAAAGCUCUUUUGCCCAAUGUCAACAUUCCCAAUGCUGAAACCAAUGCUAGAGAGAGGCUACUUUGAGCAUUGGCAUUUUGGAGAUGCGAUUUCACCGUUCACCGAGUCACUGUUCAUAUUCUUCUUCCCCGCCCAUCUUCUUCGCCGUUCAUCUUCUUCUUCCCCCGCCCGAGAGUCGACUGAGCUUCGUGGUGGGCGACCGGGGCUAGAUUUGGCCGUCAGGAAGCCUCGCCUGAGGUUGCGCAGCCUCAGGCGAGGGGGCCUGAGGUCGGGCAACCUCAGGUGUCGCCUAGGUCGUGCGACCCAAGCACUGCCACCUAAGAUCAAACGACCCAGGCGACGCCACCUAAGACCGCGCAACCACAAGCUACAUUUUACUCGUAGUUUGUCCUUAUAGGCCUCCAAAAACAACCCUCCUGUUCAACCAUCUGAUUCAAGUCGAUCACAAAAUGAGUUUCAUUUCAUCAUACGGAAAAUAGACAUUUGGAGGGGCUACUUAGAGAUCAUCAACAAAUGAAAAAAUCCAAAUGAUAAGGAGAGUGAGCAGAAGUUGAUAAGUUUAUAAAUUGACUUAUUAUAGUGUUUACAAUUUAUUUACGAUGCUUGUAAAAUUUCUAAGGAGUUGAUUAUUCUUUAAUUCAUUUCAAAGUUGGUAAAUUUCUAACGGCAUUAAUAAGUUAUUGAUAGGUUAUUUGGCAAUCAAAUUGACCGUCGUGCUUUUCUUUUAUCGACUGUACUAGAUGUUAAUGUUGGCUUGGUCUACCUGUGUGGGGCCCGGUUAACGUUAAUAAAUAAAAGAAAAGGUCAAAAGUCAAAAAUGCAAUAAAGGAAAAGAAAGGCGGGUUGCUCGUUUGGAGAAGACAGGAAAUGGGCUGCGACAUCCGGUCUAGAAUCAAAGGCCAAAUAUCAUCAGAGUUGACUCAAAUUUCAAUAUAUUAUUAUAAGACCGAGACAGAUGAGUCAAGACAGGUGAGUCCAUCAGUUUCAUUUGUCAAUCCGUUUUGCUCAUUGAACACUUUUUCUAAAUUAUCUCAAAUUUCUCCAAUCGCAAUUAGGGUUUCUUACUUCAUAUAUUAAUCCGUUUUUACAGUGACGAAAUGUCAUUAAAUUAUUGAUAUUGAAUCUCUAAUAUAUUACUAAAGAACCUCUGUGCAUUUUACUAUUUUUUGUGAUUAGUGAAAGUUUUUGAAUUGUCCAUAAUUUUUUUCACAUUGAAUUUUUCAUGUAAACUUGUCGUGUUUGCUUUUGUCUGUUUUUAUCAUUUUGGCAUUAUUUUUAUUCAUUAUGAGAUUAUAUUGCGGGAAUAUAUUGCCUGUUAUCAUGGGAGUUGAGUGGAUUUUGGUCCAUUUAAUCUUGGGAAGAAAUUGAUUCUACAUUAGGUUAAUUUUUUAUGAAUCGUUGCCGGUUCUCUCGAACUUUGUAUCAAUAAUUUUGGAAAUCCAUCAGGUAAGGGAAAUUUUCCGCACUUUCCUUUGACUACCCUGCGCUCAGUCCCGAAAGCUUAAGUCAGCCGCACCUUUGAUUUUUUGUCUCAUCAACCAAUAGCAUUUCAUUUUAGGGUCUUCGUCGUCGCGGAAAAGGAUGAUUUCUAUCCCAAUCGCGUCCUCAUUGGCAUCUUUGAUUUUUUUGUCUCAUCAACCAAUAGCAUUUGAUUUUAUGGUCUUCGUCGUGAAAAAGUAUGAUUUCUGUCCCCAUCGGCAUCUUUGAUUUUUUUGUCUCAUCGACCAAUAGCAUUUGAUUUUAUGGUCUUCGUCGUCGUGAAACGUACGAUUUCUGCCCCAGUCGUGUCCUCAUCGGCCCAAAGCAUUUUACUUGCUUUUCCCAGAACUACUCCAUAAUUGCCUCGAACGCGUUGACGCAGCCACGUUCUACGACUUUUAGCCAUUUCGUCUUCACCUAUCGAAGGGAUGAUCCAGUCAAAAAUGUUGUCCAGCAAAUUUCUUGUUCUCCCCCUUUUUUUGAAGUUGAUAAUUUUAUGCUCAAAUGAAAAUCCUAAUUAGCUACUCCUGAUCAAAUAUUGCUAUUUCUCUCUCCUCUUUCAAUAUAAUCCGAUUCGAGUCGAUAGCAAGGAGAAAAGAGGGCAUGUCUCGACGAGGCUUGAGCCUCGCCGAUAGUUGGCGAGACCUCCAGCUCACCAGAUCGGUAGGCCCGAGCAUGCCUGAUGCCAACGAGUUCAAGGCUCACUAGAUUUGCAAGGCUCAAGCCUCACCUGAUGCCGACGAGCUCGAGCCUCACUUGACCAGUCAUUGGCCAUCGCCGUGUCAAUAGCCAACUAAGAAAGGAGGAAGAAGAAAUGGGAAAAAAAAUAAAAAGAAAAUUAAAAUAUAAAAAUAAAUAUAAUUUCGAUUUUUAUAUUUAAAAAAGUUAAAAAGGGAAGAGAGAGAUUAUGACGCUUUAGUUGAAAAUGGGUUUUAAAUCCAACUCAUUUAAAACCCAUUUAUCUUAAAUCUUCAUUUUUAAACCCAUUUAACUAGUUUCUUUAAAAAAUAAGUGACUCAUAUAUAACACAUUUAUGAUUUAAAUAGGUCAAAUAUGAGUCUAAAAUCCAUUUUGUCACUUCUAGCUGUAAGUGGGUUGAUUUAUUGUGAAAGUUUCGAACUUUGUUGAUUCCAUUUGCCGUGAGUGCGAAGCAUCGCGUUGCCCGAGUCGACCCGGGUUUUUCCGCGCUUGUGCGUUAAUGUGGAAAUAAGAAAUUGUUCCUCGCCUUCCAGAUAAACCGAAGGAUAAUAGCUACCAGUUCAAAGGUCAGAUCUUUCCUUGUCUUGUCACGGAAGAUUCUGAAGCCACACUUCAAUUCGUGUUAUAUUAUGAUCUGAGAAAUAGAUGUUUACUGCGGGGUUUGUCCAAAUCGGUUUCGUCCAGGGCCACGAUAAGAAGAGAUGCUCCAAUGUUCCUUUUUUCAAACUCUCUUGCAAGAUUGAUUGCAUUUUUAUUUUUCAGGAGUCGUGCUUUGAUUGGAUAUGUUCAUGUUUCAGAGGAGGCUUGUGAAAUUGUGAAGACAACUCGCAUCAUACUUGUCAGCAUGCAGGGAUGGAACUCUCAUAUAUUUUUAGUGGGGUCAAUGCCCUAAAGACUGUAAGAUAAGGUAUUUCAUUUAACAAAAAAAAUUAUAAAGAUGCGAUCGAGCUAUUUAUUGAUUUGAAGUAGUUUUUCUACGCAAAAUUUGACUUGAAAUCAAUGCUUUGACAUUGAAUCAUGAAUGUGAACAAAAUUCGGUUUCAAAUCCUUGUGCUCGAGCUCGACUCAAUAUAGUAUAUAGGGCUCGAAAUUGAACUCGAUUCAACUCCAUUAUUAAAAGCUUGAUUCUACUCAUUUGACUUGUUACGUAGGAUGUUUAUUUCUAUUUUUCCUAAUCAUAUAUUGUACCUUCUGCAUAGCCUAAUCAUGCUAUUCGAUUGCUUUAUCUUCUGACUCUAUCAAGCCUUGUGUUUGAUUGGUGGUGCGGUUGUCUAGUAGUGCAAUGUCUAAGCUCGAUAAUUUUCUAAUAAUUGUUUAUCUUUUUAUUUUCCAUUUUUUACGUCAUAAAGAAGUUUAUAGUACAUGGAAAGACAAGAUACUGGUUUUGAUUUCUUGCAAGUUAGCGCAUGGUCCCUUAGAGGGUGACGAGGCUAAGCCUAAUUACAUCAAUUGAACAACAGAAUUUACUAAAAAGGCAAUGUGGGGUUUCAUUAGGCAUCAUCAGUUGGAUUUUAUUUAUUUAAAUAAACUAUAAGGAUCCCAUCCCACUGCUCCUUUUGCUCUUCCGAUUUCCAUCUUUUGGCAAUGGAAAACCAUAGCCACAACAACACAGAUAUAAAUUAAGGAAUCGUUAUGCUAGCUAGAUCCCAUGAGAAACAAUUGAUGUCAUCUCAUCCAUUGAUCGUCAGACUUUCAAGAUUAUAUGUCACAACCGCACUUCCAUUCACUCACGAAACACUUCUUGGAUAUGUCCUUCCUCAGCACUUCAUUUCGAGUAGGGAUUAAUAGUUCCCCCCGUACAGAUUGGAGUACGAAGCCCACCCAAAAAGUCGAAUAAAAUAGUCCGUUCUAUUUUGCCGGUAUCACCAGCUGACUUAGUUCCGAUGACUCUCUUCGGAAUAUGAGGCAAUAAUAGAGCAAAUCUGUCAAACGGUUCUCCACCAAGAGCAGGAACUCUUUUAUUAUGUAUGUGGAUUGAUUGGUCGAUUUACGACAUUUUGUAUAGAAAUUACAAAAAAAUGCAAGUAGUUAUAAUUCAUUAUAAUUCAAAAUUUUAUUUAUCAAUGACCAUAAAACUGCUCAUGUAUUAUAAGAAGAAAUUUAAAAAACUCUUCAACACAAAAGUUAUUCAUCACAUCGAAUCUCCAACAUUUUAUAGUAGAGUAGACGAUCUAUCACCGUGCAGCACUCAAGUUUCACACACAAACAUAAAUAGAAGCUUCUAAAUUCAUAAGCAUACAAUAAGAUAAGAAAGACGAUCUAUCACCGUGCAUCAUUCAAUUCCAACAACCCAUGCCCCUGCUGGCACCCCUGCCCACAGUCAGGGCAUUUUGUACUUGAAAAAAGCUGGUACUCUUCCAUGCUUGCACUUCUCACACAUAAAUAAUAAUGGCGUCCCCCUUAGCAACCCCCGCUCCCCCUGUAGCCCCCGCUGCCCCUUCUCCCCCCGCUCCCCCUUAUCCCCCUUAUCCCCCUUCUCCCCCCGCUCCCCCCGCUGCCCCUGGUCCCCCUUUGGCCCCCGCCGCCGGAUGUAGUAGAAAAGGAAACCACAAAGCAUGACAGCAACAAUGACUAAACAAACAAUAACCCAUGUUGGGGUGUUAUUGUCAUCAGAUGAUACGGAAUUCGGAUCGAUCCAUGCCGAUGGAGGAGGAAAGUACUGGAAACUCGGAUAAGUUUGUGGAUAGUUAUUGUUCUCCAUCAAGAAAACUCUGUGGACGUAGUUCAAUGCGAGUGGUGAGUCUACAAACAUAUUAUGAAGCAUCAAUCCAAGAGCCAAUUUACCUUUUUGUCAUGAUGAAUCGAUCGUAUGAUCCGAGCGCGAGAUCAAAAUGAUUCGACACGGAAUUCAAUGAUAUAUAAUGUGAGUGGAAGUACGUGCUUGCACAUAUACCCUCACAAGAAAAAUGGAGCAAAUCAGUGAAUGAUGUUGCGCCAAUGCUUACGUGACCUGCAAAAAAGUGAGAAUUUUCGCUUGGUGGAGGUAUCGUUAUAUAUGCCUCGCGACACUCCCUCCCUCCCUCAUGAGGUGGGUUUUUUUUUUUUUUAUUAUUGGCCAAAAGAUAAUAAUUUUCAUUACUAACCAACUAAGGGGGCAUCAUUAGUUGAAAAGUCUAAACAUACAAUUCAACAUAGAGAACGGGGAGAAUUUGAACUCCAAUUGCUGGAAAGUAAGCUGGCUCGGUAGGUUAGGUAAGUGUUUUAAGUAAUACAUCAUUUUUUUUGAGGAUGUAGUGUAAUGAUUGAAGCAUCUAGACAAAAAGUUGGGAAAUUUUAUUCACGUUCCAAAGAUAGGAAAAAAUAUUAAAAAAAUCAUAAAUCUAUUAUAAAUGUACCAAUUCUAUUAUAAAUAUAUGUUUAAUCAAUUAAGUACUAAAUCUUUUAUAUUUAUAUCAAUUCAGUUCGUCUGAUCAAAAUUGGCUGCUCAGCACUAAAAUGAACACAAUGCAUUCUAUGAGUUACCGUCAACACUAAUGUGAAUAAUUUUUAAUAAUAUUUUAAUAUUUUUUCAAUUUUUAUUCCUAUUUUUCUUUUAAUAUUGUCUUUUCUUCUUUUUUUCCUUUUCUCUUUCUUUCUUUUUUUAUUUUUUUUCUUUCACUCACUUCUUCCUUCGGCUGGUCGCCAGCGACCACUGGAAAUGAAGCUCCACAAAGAACGGGGCGAGCUUCAACUACUGUCCAAGCUCGAUCACAUCUUCAUGUGUGAUGUUUAGGAGCUGGGAAUGAUACGCAUGUUUGACUAAUACAGUCCAAGGGAAUAAGAUUUUGGUGAAGGGCCAAGAAAAACAACCAGGUCUAAAAUGAGAAAUUAUUAUAUACUCUACAAAAUGUGUGAUCCAAUAUCAUCUCAAUCAUUAAUCAAGGUAGAUCUCGUUAUGGGCCCACGGGGUCAAUCGUUGAACUGGGUUUCAACAUGAGAUAUAUAGACCACACAAUAACAUUUCAUGCAAAAUGGGGUUAUAGACGUGACUUGCAAAAUAAAAUUCACUCUACUAUCCAAAAUCAAGUCCAUAAAAACUUAUUUUAGAGCCAACUUGCUAAGGAUAUAAGAGACCCAUUGUCAAUUUGUUUCUAUCUCGAGUAUUCUAAAAAUGUAGGAAAAUGUUCCAGGAUCCUCUUAAACUUAAACUGUCUUAGAUGGAUACAUAAAAAAAAACCACUAAUCUCAGUCCUCGUGUUGGUCUAUACUUGUCUACAUCUCUCUUAUGGUCACGGGACUCCUGUCCGUAGUGAAACGUGGGAGAAAACGACGUAACGGCAAAGCCCGUCAUAUCGGCGCUGUCGGCCACGAUCAUGUGCGUUUAGAAUCUUAUCCUUCCGACUGACUCGCAAUCACAUCGUUUUGUCCCCCAACUUUUGGACUGUCGGGUCUGUUUCUCCUGUUGAGAAAAUAUUAGGUACGUGAGACGCUCGAGCGUGGCAAACAAGAAGGCGGUGGGAGCACGUGUCUCGUGGGACCCACAAUUUCAGGCGCCCAUUUUGAAAAUUUUCCUGUACUGUAGCUUCUGGAGAGGGGGUUGUCUGUCGCGCGGGUUCUUCUUUGCGCCUCUCUCUACCCUCGCUUUCUCUCCCCGACGAACUCCUUCUCUCUCUGCCUCGCUUUUUCCGACCGGCGAGCCACCACGAGCAACCGACGAACCAGGAGGAUACCGGCGAGACGACCGCGAGCAACCGACCGGUGUGCGACCUCCCUCUCUCUCUCUCUGCCCUCCCUCUUCCCGACCGGCGAACAACCGCGCCGCCCUUCUGGCUCCGCUUCUGGCCCCGACUCGUCCGUCCCGUACUCUUUGUCUCUCCUCGCUUCUCUGUCUGCCCUCCCUCUCUUCGACAGCGAACCACCGCGUGACCGGCGAACCACCGCGCCACCCCCCUCCGGCUCCAGAUCCGGCACCGGCUUGUCCAAGUAAUUUCUCGCUUUCUCUUUUCUCUCUUUUAUAGGAGUCCAGCGAUGCCUGAAAAGUCAUUAGUAGUAUGCUUUUCGCCUGUAAUUUUUCUUUAAUCUUGGGUCUGGCUAUUCAUUAUGCCAGUAGGACAUACUCCGAAAAGGCUCUAAAAUGAGUGCUAUUGUUGCAAAUCAUGGAUAGUCCUUGAAAAGCCAGAUCUGUCAUUCUUCCAUAUUGAUGUUUAUAUGUAUAUUCCCCAAUAACUUUGCUGAGAUGCACUGCAAAUGCAUCCAGUCUCAAUUGAUUAUCGUCAUGCAGUGUAGAUUUUUCUUGCUUCUGAGAUCAUUUGGUCGUAUUUGUUUCCGUGUGUUUACGAUGCUUAUGGUAAUACUGUACUCUCUUAGUGUUCAUUCUGAUAUUUAGUCUGCCGUUCCUCCUCUCUCAGGUUCUUGUGGAACUGUCUAUCACGCUCUGUGGUACGGAUCAGUGUGUUCUUCUACGCCCCUUAAAUUUAGUUUAACAGGGUGAUGCAUGCUGUCAUGAUGUAAAAUGCAUGUACCUCACUUCAUGGUAUACGCACUACUUAUCUCACUCCUCUAAUAGCGUUUGGCUAUCUCUUAUGCUAUUCACUUACGGACUUCAAGUUCUCUUUAUAAUAUGUAAUGCAUGGUGGUGGAGUGAAUUUUACUCGUGUUGCCGACAUGAAACACAGGAGAAAUGUGUCAUCUGUCUGGACAGUAGGUAUUAUUCUGUGUUUUGCUAUAAGUGGCACGAUAAAUGUGGCACAAAUACCUGUUGUGGAGAAGUGGAAAAAAAGGAGAUUAGUGUUGUAAAUGGCUUUGUGAUAUCGUGUUGUUCCCAUAUAUAACUAAAUGAUGUGGGUAACUUUAGUUGGUGCGUUCUGCUAUGUUUUACUUAUUUUGCUAAAUGAAAGAGGAGAUUUAGUGCAAUGCAUUUGGCUUCUCACUUUAUCUCACUGUUUGGUAUAGACCUAUGCGAUCUCCUCAUGAUGAUUUUUUUUCUUUUUUUUGGAUUUUAACUUUCUCUGCAUUUAACUUGGUCCCAAAGAUGUCCCGCCUAGAAAACAAAACAUAAUUGCAAAGAAGGAAAUAGAAAAAGGAAAUAAGGAAGAGUUGCAGAUAGUCAUUGAAGAAUGCAAAACAGAUAUCCCCUGAGAUCAGAAAUGGCCAUCCUUCAUGAGCUUACUUAAAUAUUAUCUGGUGACAAACUAAUGUGAAGUUAUAAAAAAAUAAAAAAUAAUAAUAGUUGGAAUUUUGGGUUGAAUAAGCAUCAAGAACUGUCACCGGUUAAAGAUUGGUCACGUCAAAAUGGGAAGCGAAGACUAACUAAACAUUCUGGCUUUAUUUAAAUUUGUUGUAGCAAGCAAAUAGAAGUCUAAAGUUUGUGAACUCCAUUUUGGGAAACGGAUGCAGCCAUUUCAUGCAUUCUUACGUGUGUAUAUCUUUAUUACAACAUGUUUGUAGGCCACGAAUUCAUACUAUUGGAUGAAAGGAAGGUGCGACCGAAUACCUGAUUUGAUGGCAAUCACAGAAACUAAAAUUGGUUUAGAGGAAAGUAGCACUAAAUCCCAUGAUGCAAAUGAAAAUAUGCAAUGUCAUUACAGAAUUAAAAUUCUAAAGCCCAUAGAAAAGAAUAUAUACAUCUCUAUUUACUAACAAAUUAAACCCAGCAAAUGCUAUUUCAAACAUACAUACCAAUAUCUUCACUUAUACCAAAAUCCGACUCUCAGAAAUCCCUCACUGACGCCUUCUCGUCCUAGUUGCUGGUAGUUGUAGAGACUGAAAAAGGACUGCGAUCAAACGUGUGUGCAAGUCACCAAUGAGUGGAUUAGCACAAAUCUCUUCAAAGGUGCCAGAUAGAUCGAGUACUCACUAUUAUAAAAAGAUACCAUAAAUACAUCUGUAAAGUAUUCGUACAAUAUUAAAAAAUUAGUUGCAUGACUUCAACAAAGCUUUGUACAUGUCAGAUCUAUUCAUUCCAUCAACUAUAUCAAAGUAAACACAUGCGGUCCAGUCCAUUGACUAAGGCCACGCUUAACAUUCGUGAUAAGCCCUACCGAGAUUCUCACUCGGCGUAAGGGUCUACUUGCAUCGGUCAGUGGAUUCGCCCAAUACAAUGUCUUGAGAAUUAUUUAUUAAUGUGAUCCCACAUUCAGGUUAUAGUUUUUGUAAUAAAAAUUUAUCCGUUGGACUUGACCCACGUUUUCUUUUUUAAGUAAUAAUUAUUCCAUAUGCGGUUUUUUCACGCUUCGUACCUCUUCGUUAUGGGAGGCGGCUUAUAAAAGGAACGAUUAUUCAUUUCGUAAGGGCAAUCACAAGAUCUAAUGCUAACCCUCUCAUUCGAAAAUAGACCAUUAGUACGUGAGGGAAUUGAAUUAAUGGAGUGUGCUCGUAAUAUCAUCAAAUCUCCAUGAAUUUCCAACGAACACACAUUUAAACAAUGGCUAGAGGUCUAUUUGAUUUUUUUAUCUCAUUUUUGCACAUAUGGUUCUAAUCAAUGAUUGAAUUUUGUUUUUCAAUGCGUGAUUAGAAUCAUUGGUUUUAGAGCAUGUAGGUAUCUUUGUCUUGUUUAUGUAGAGUUUUGAGUGUAUUUUUCAUGAGUUUUGUAAAUGAAUAGUGAAUGGGGCAUUUUGGGGGCCAAGAGAGAAGAAACUUGUCGUUUUGAGCCAAAUUUCUUGGCCGUUUUCAUUGAAACUUGGACCUGUCUGGUCCCGUUGGCGUGGUCUCCAAAACCGCGGCGGAGACGAAGGAAACGCGAAACUGCGCGAUGAAGAACAAGCGCGUGGAUUACGUGCGUAUGUCCUGCGGUUGCUGGCGCGUGAGCGGUGCUCGAGCGGCAUUUGCAGGCGCGUGUGUGCCACUUACCUACGCGACGCACAGGCAUGAAGGCAGCUUUUUCCCCUCCUCAGAUUUACAAUGUUGCCCCUUCUUUCUUGUUUGUUUUUACAAUUCUGCACUUUUCCGAAUUUACUUACUGUUUUGCCCUUGGUAGCUAAAUUUACUCUUUUACCCUUCUCCGUUUUUAAAAUGAUCGUUUUGCCCCUUCCGCAAUUUUGCAAUUCUGCCCUUGGCUGACCUAUUUACUAUUUUUCCCUUUAUGUGUUUUGUGAAUAUUUGUUACAUGAAAUUAAAUGCCUAAUGAUCCAUAUAUUUUAAUUAAUUAAAGAGUAACCAUAGCAUCUUUGAUUAGUUAAAUUAUAUAUUAAGAGCCUCCGGAUCACAUCUAGUAAUGGAUAUUGAUUGUAACUAAUCUUAUUAAUAUGAUGAAUUUUACCCCAUAGAAAUUUUCAUUAUAUUAAUAUGAUUAAUCAUGAUGAAAUAUCAUAUUAUUUUUCUUAAUUUACCCAUAGAGAUUAAGAAAAUGAAUAUAAUAUGAUAAUUUUUUCAUGGAGUGUUUAUGAAUCUAUUUAAAUUAAAACUUGAUGUUCUCAUACUAAUUGGUGAAAAUUAUAAAGUUCUGAAUGAGUUAAUUCUUCUUCAAUUGGGGUGCAUGGAAAUUGACUAUAUUGUAAGGAAAGACAAACCACAUGUUUCUAUUGAUACGAGCAUUGUAACUAAGAUAGCCCUUUAUGAAUGAUGAGAGUGGUCCAACCCUUUUAGUGCGAUGUUCAUAAGAACUAAAAUAUCUCUUAGUAUUCAUGGUUCGAUUGCUCUGUAUAGUAAUGCUAAGGUUUUAUUAGAGGCUAUUAACGCGCAAUUUGAGACUUCAAAGAAGACGCAUGCCAUGACCUUAAUUAUGAAAUUUUCAUCGUUGAAGCUUAUUAGUGUUAGAGGUAUGUGUGAGCACAUCAUAAAUAUGAGGGAGACUGCAGCUUAGUUUAAGAACCUUGAGGUUAAGAUAUUUGAAUAUUUUCUUGUAUAGUAUAUUUUGAACACUCUCCAACAAUAGUAUGCAUCUUGCAAGAUUUCUUACAACACACAUAAAAAUAAAUGGUCAAUUAAUGAACUCAUGAUCAUGUGUGUUCAAUAGGAAGAAUGAUCGAUUAUAGAAUCGGAAGAAAGUGCUCAUUUGGCAAUAUAAAGAAAGAAUAAGGGUCAUGGCAAGCAUAAGGGAAAAUGUAAAAUAUCUCCCUAAGAUGAAAUUAAGAAAGAAUCCAAAUGUUUCUUCUAUAAAAAGAAGGGGCACAUAAUGAAGGAUUACAUCAAAUUUAAGGCAUGGCUUAAAAAAAAAAGGUAAUCUAAUUUCUUGUGUUUGUUAUGAAUCUAAUAUGGUUGAUGUGAGUCACAACAUUUGGUGAAUCGAUUCUAGAUCUACAAUCCAUAUUCCGAAUUCAUUGUAGGGUUUUCAAAACUAAAUGAAGCCAGUGAAAAGUGAACAACGCAUCAUUUAGGAAAAAAGAUACAUUCACAUGCGGAAGCUAUUAAGACAUGUAAAUUAGUUUUUAAUAGUGGUUUUGUUUUGAAUUUAGAAAUAACCUUUUAUAUUCCUAGUUUUUCUAGAAAUUUAAUUUCAGUUUCAAGACUUGUACUUUUUGGUCACUCUUUUAACUUUUCAAAUUCAAACUUCAGUUUAUCAUUUAAAUAUGAAAUUAUUGGGAGUGAUACUUUAUCUAAUAGUCUCUUUUGAAUUAAUUUAAAAGACAAUGCUUAUUAUAAUGCGAUACAUAUUCAUGAUGACGCUAGUAUAAAACAAUGAGUUGUGAAUGAAGAUUCCUCUAUAUUGUGGCACUGAAGAUUAUGAAAUAUCUCCAUAGAUAAAAUUAAGUUAUUGGUAAAUGAUGGAGUACUUAGUACUUUAGUUUUUACUUAUUGUAAUACUUGUGUAGACUACAUAAAGGGAAAACAGACUAACAAGACGAAAAGAGGUGCCAAGAGAAAUAUAGAAAUAUUAGAAAUCACACAAACGGAUAUUUAUAAUUUAAAUAUGGACUCGCAUGGUUAUAAAUACUUCAUUUCUUUCCUAAAUGACUACUCACGUUACAUGUAUCUCUACUUACUUCAUAAUAAGCAUGAAGCAUUAGAUGCGGAAGUAAAGAAAUAAUGCGGUAAAUAAAUUAAGAUCGUAAGAUUAGAUAGAUGUAGAGAAUUUUAUGGUAAAUACAUUGAAAAUGGACAAGCACCCGAUCCAUUUAUAAAGUUUCUUUAAGAGUAUGUGAUAGUUGCCCAAUAUAUUAUGCUUGGUUCUCCGGACCAAAACGGUAUAGUGGAAAGAAGAAAUCGAAUAUUAUUGGACAUUAUGCGGAGUAUACUGAGCAACUUCAAAUUUCUUAAGUCCUUGUGGACUAAAGCACUUAAGACGGCAAUGUGCAUAUUAAAUCAAGUUCUAACCAAGACUGUCCCAAAAACAUAUUAUGAGUUGUUUAAAAGUUGGAAACCGAGUUUGUAAUAUGUAAGCAUUUGGGGAUGCCCAUUUGAAAUGAGAGUCUACAAUUUAUAAGAAAAGAAAUUUUACUAAAGAAUUAUAAGUAGGUAUUUCAUUAGAUUAGUCGAAAGGUCCAAUACAAGUUUUAUUGUCCAUCUCACACUACUGGGAUUGUGAAAUCAAGAAAUGCUAAGUUUCUUGAAAAUGACUUGAUUAGUAGAAACGAUUAAUCGAAGAACCUUGUUCCUAAGAAAGAUCAUUCAAACACUUAACCUUCCACCUCAAAUAUAAUAUUGGUUGUCGUUCAUAAUGUCCAUUCAGUUUAACCGGCUGAUGAAUAACUAAUUAUUGAAGUUCCACAACCUACUGAUAUUGAUAUAGUAAAUCCAGUUUUCAGUAAUUACUAGAAUUUAUUGAACAACUAGUUGAAUAACAUGCUCCUCAAGAAAAUGUUAAUGCAACAUUAAAAAUAUCUAUUAGAAUGAGGAAAUUAAUAAUUCAUAGUGAUUAUAUUAUGUAUUUACAAGAAUUUGACUAUAAUAUUGGAACUGAGAAUUAUCAUAAAAUGUUUUCAUAUGCUAUGGAUAGUGAUGAUUCUAAUUUGUGGUACAAUGCCAUGAAAGGAGAGAUGGAUUUUAUGGCAUCUAACAAAAUAUGGGAUUUGGUUGAGUUGCCUAAUGGUACGAAGGCCAUUGGUUGUAAAUGGUAUUCAAAACUAAGAGAGAUUAAUUGGGUAAGAUAUAAUGCUAGACUUGUUGCUAAAGGAUUCACUCAAAAAGAAUGAACUGAUUACAUGGAGAGAUUUUUUCCUGUAUCUAAGAAAGAUUCUUUUCAUAUUGUUUUGAUAUUGGUUGCCCAUUUUGAUAUAAAAUCACAUCAAAUGGAUGUGAAAACGGCGUUUCUCAAUGGAAAACUAGAUGAGGAGUUUUAUAUGAAACAACUUGAACGAUUCUCCUUUAGUAAAAGUGAGCAUUUGUUGUGCAAGUUUAAGAAAUCUAUAUAUUGCUUAAAACAAGCAUCUUGCCAAUAAUACUUAAAAUUCCAUAACGCCAUCUCUUCAUUUGGUUUUGUAGAAAAUGUCAUGAAUCAAUAUAUAUAUAUCAGAAGGUUAGUAUGAGCAAAAUUUGUUUUUUUGUGCUAUAUGUGGAUGAUAUUCUACUUGCAACCUAAUAAGAGGUUGUUAUAUGAAGUGAAACAAUUUCUCUUUAAGAGUUUUGACAUGAAUGAUAUGGGUGAGGUAUCUUAUAUCAUUAGAAUUAAUAUUCAUAGAGAUAGACCUUGAGGAAUUUUAGGAUCAUCUCAAAAAACUUAUAUCAAUAAUAUUUUAGAGAGAUUUCAGAAAAAAGAUUGUUUACAAAGUAUGACGCUUAUUGUGAAGGGUGACAGGUUCAAUUUGAAUAGCGCUCGAAGAACGAUAUGCAAAAUGAAUAAAUAAAUAACAUUUCAUAUGCUUUUGCUGUUGAAAGCUUGAUAUAUGCUAAUAUUUGUACUUGACCUGAUAUUGUUUUUGCUAUGCAAAUGUCGUGAAGAUAUCAGAAUAAUCCAAGUAUGCACUACUAGAAAGCUACAAAAAAAGUGAUGAGAUGCCUUUAAGGUGUCAAAGGCUACAUACUUAUGUAUAAAUAGACUAACAACCUAGAAGUAGUUGGUUAUUUGGAUGUGGACUUUGCAAUGCAAUUUUCAAAAAUCAACAUCUGGAUACAUUUUUAUAUUAGCUCGCGGAGUCGUGUCAUGAAGAAGUGCAUAGCAGAUUUUGAUUGCUAAGUUUGUUUCUUGUUUUGAAGCUAUUUCGCAUGGUAUAUGGUUGAAGAGUUCCAUUUCUGGAUUUAGAAUUGUUGAUUCUAUUUCUAGGUUAUUAAGAAUAUAUCGUGCAAUUCAAUCACGGUUUUUAUGAUUGAAAAUGUCAAAAGUGGCCAUCGAAAUAAGUAUAUCGACAUCAAGUAUUUAGCCGUAAGUUUGAAUGUGUUAAAGAGAAUAAAGUGGUCAUAAAACACGUUAGUAUUAAAUUGAUGAUAGUUGAUCAUUUAACUAAAGGCGUGCAACCAAUACAGUAUAAUGAUCAUGUAACUAUUAUGGGAAUAGGUUCCAUUAUGUGAUUUGUCGUCAUAUGGACAAUUUUUAUUUUAUGAAACUCUUAUUCUUUUAUAAUGUUACUUCUCAAUUUUGAUAUACACAUUCUGUUGUUUAUGAGAAUAACAUAUAUCUUUGGUUUUGGAAUAAAUAUAGGGUUUAUUCAUUAAGAUGUGUUGUCACAUAUAGACUGACAUUAAAGGAAUAAGAUGCAUUGUGAUACAUGGAAGAUAUUACUCGCUUUUAGAGGAAAUGUAGUUAUGAUUCAUGCGUUUUGUUUUUUUUUUUCUUUUAAGCAUAAGUUUUUGUGAUUGAUUGGAUAACCGUAUGAUGAAAAUGUUGGGAUCAAGUGGGAAAAUAUUAUCUAUAAUGUGAUCGCACAUAUAAGGAUAUACUUUUUGUAAUAAAAACUUAUUUGUUGGGGUUUGACCCACAUUUUCUCUUUUAAGUAAUGAUUUUUCCACAUGCUGUUUUUUAACGCUUCCAUACCUCUUCGUGACGAGCAACCUUAAUGGGAGACAUAAGGGCAAUCACAAGGUUUAAUGCAAAUUCUCUCAUAUGGAAAUACAUCAUCAAUACGUGAGGGGAUUGGGUUAGUAGAGUGUGCAUGUAAUAUCAUCGAAUCACCAUGAAUUUCUAAUGAGCACAAAUUUGAACAAUGGUUGGAAGUCUAUUUUAUUUUUGAUCAUAUUUUUCCACAUAUGAUUCUAAUCAACGAUUGAAGUUUGGUCUUCAAUGCGUGAUUAGAAUCGCUAGUUUGACAUAAAAUGCAUACUCACAAUCCCUUAAUGUUUUUAUGGUCAUUCUUGCUAUGACGACAAUGAUAAUAACCAUCUUGCAAUCAUGAACCAACUCAAUAUUCAUUUUGCAAAUCAAGUUUACACACCAAUAUAUUUGACCUCCUGCUAUUCAUUCCAUCAAGCACAGUUCUUUGCCAUUUUAAAUCACCAAAAUGUCGUAAAUGCCCAAUCCAUCUUUGUGGGGUAUAUAGUUUCUCAACAACACUUUUUCGUUUUACUGUACCAUAUGUCAUGUGAUGCCUUUUUCACAACUUAUAAUAUUAUAUAUAUAUAUAUAUAUAUAUAUAUAUAUAUAUAUAUCUUAUAAUUUUCCAAAAAUGAGUUUCUAAUUCAUAAAAAAAAGUACCACUCACCUAAAAAUGUGAAACUAAAUAACAAAAGCUACCUUGAGGAGGAAAAAAAAAGUUGAAAUCCUACUAAUUAAUUGGGAAAUGGAUAUUAUAGUCAAUUAGAUGACUACUUUAACUAUGACUCAACUAAAUCGGUGACAAAAGGACUUCAACAUACCAAUUCAAAAUUCAUUUCAUAGAUCAAGUUCACACACAAAUACAUUUGACCUCUUACUAUUCAUUCCAUCAAGUAGGGUUCUUUGCCAUUUUAAUUCACCAAAAAAAUUGUGAAUGUCCAAUCCAUUAUUAUGGAGCAAAUAUUCUCUCAACAAUGCUUUUCCUAUUUAUCAUACAUUAUGUCAUGUGAUGCCUUUUUCAUAACUUAUAUUUCUUAAAAUUUUCAAAGCAUUAAUUUUUAAUUCAUAAAAAAAAGAUAAGUAUCACUCACCUGAAAAUGUGAAUCUAUUAAUCAUGUAGGAAACAAAUAUCAAAAUGAAGUAGAUAACUACUUUAACUAAGACUUAACUAAAUCAGUAACAUAAGGACUCUGGCAUACCAAUAAAAGCUUGCCUAAAAGUAAAACAAUUAUUGUUGUCUACCAUGCUAUGAUAGCUCAACUACCGAAUUUUAAAUGGUUUAUUUAAACUCUACCAACAUACGUUACAAGUGGGUCCAAAUUCAUUGAAAAGCUAACCCGACAUAUUUAAAAGUCGAACUUUGCCUCAAACCCAAAGAUAGCCACUGAGAUGGGUGAAAUUUAGCGUUAGACACAGUGGUUCAAACAUGGUUCCAUUAAUGUGCAACAAACUUGAAAAUUUCAGCUCAACAAAAUCGUAACCCUUAAUGAUGAAAUCUCACGGAUUCAAAAUAUCCUGGAGUUUCUUUACAACAUAAUUUCACACCUCUAAGGUCAAUCCAACAACUCAAAAUUCAACACGGUAUGAAAUUAUAACUUUUACAUGUCCAUGGUUGUCGGUGGCUUUCGUGGACGAAAUCUCGCCUUUUUCUCUCGAGGUUCCCUCUCUUUCCUGUUUUUCUUUUGCUGACCCUCCUCUCUCUCUCUCUCUCUCUCUCUCUCUUAUUCCUUCUCUUUUAUUUUCCUUUGAGAAACCAGUUGUAGAAGAAAUAAAAUAUGGGUUGAGGCAAAAGCUUCAUCAUUAACUGAGACAGGGGCUCGGGUCUCCUGAGCCUAAAUCCUCUUGUCUUCCUUUCAAGAGGUCCGUUUGUUACGUAAAAUUUGAGAAACCAGUUGUAGAAGAAACCAGCUCGGGUCUCUCUUAUUCCUUCUCUUUUAUUUUCCUUUGAGAAACCAGUUGUAGAAGAAAUAAAAUAUGGGUUGAGGCAAAAGCUUCAUCAUUAACUGAGACAGGGGCUCGGGUCUCCUGAGCCUAAAUCCUCUUGUCUUCCUUUCAAGAGGUCCGUUUGUUACGUAAAAUUUGCCGCAUUAGAAGGUCAUAAAGAAAAAUUAGACAGUUCCACCGCUUCUCGUUUGCUUAAAUGGAUUGCAUAGAAUGGCGAGGCUCAAAUCGAGACUUAAGCCUUGGAAGAUAAAUGGCCUAUCAACCGGAGGAUUAACCCUCGAUCCCUGAUGACUUUUAGGGCUAAACAAGUUCGGUCCAAGUAUUAACUACUCCGAGCUGUGAAAGGACAUUGUCUGACAAAUGAUGUCGGGUCGAGGACAGUGCAUUCACUUUUCUGGAAAUAAUUUGUUCGACCGGUCGUGUUUGUAACGAAGUAGCCUUGUUCCAAAUGGCCAGCAAGUUGAGUUUAAUCGCGGGGAGGACUGAACUCAAGAAGCAAGUUAAUCUUCGGCUUUAAUUUACUCAUCUCUCUGUUUUCAGCUCUAACAUGAUCAACACAGAAUCGAUGCGAGCAUCUAGAUCGCCCAAGAAAGCUUUGUAACUGGGAGGCCUUCCCUUAAAUUUUAAACGAGCAGAGGUGCUGUUUUGCAUCAAUUGAAUAUCAUCUUUUGCUUAAAAGAAAAUCUCAGACAGAAUCUGCAAGCAUCGUGUGGCCAAGCCCUGCACCAAAUGAUCAAAACGAGAGCAGUCUCCAAACCAAGACCAAGCCCAUGUGGUACGAACAUCAUUCAAAACGAACGGAGAGGAAAUUCAGAUGAGAGGGGGGUCUCACGUGUGGCCCAUACAAAGAUCUAUUCCAACGGCUAUCAUUCGCUGCGGACGCAAUUCACGUGUUGAAAUUUCCCUUAUAGGGCAGUGCUCCAAAGGUGCACGCUCAGAUAUGAAAUUUGGCAACAAGGAGAACUCGCAGGCUUUCAAGCAUCCCUUAGAACAAAAAGACACGAGACUUUGCAGCGCUUUGUCAGCUCCUGCGUAUGGCUCUCAGGCCAAUUUGGAUUAAUCAAUCCUAACAACUUGGCAAUUGACAAGGGAUUCCUAAAAGCUAUCGGAAGUUUAAAAUAUUUUAUCUUAUUUGGCCCCUACUUAGAUUACAGUAGCUUCUCCAUAUUCUUUAGGGCAUAAAGAUUUUCGAUUCCGAAAAGACGGAUUAAUUACGAGCUGCUUAAAUUAUACCAGUCCAGUAGAGUAUCACGAGAACGCUUGCAAGUAGGUACCGGAGGAUAGGUUAAAAGUACAGUAUGGAAGAUUUUAAGACAUAGUUACUACAACGACGGUCGUUUCCCAGUCCGCGGAAUUGGUUGUGUGGCAUGUGAAUGAGGAUCCAUGCAGGUGAAUAGGAUGUGUACGGCAUGUGUGUUUGGCCGACGCAGUGGUGCCUUCGAGUUUCUGUGAAUAGUUGGUAUGAGAAUUUGGUAGCGGAGUUGUGACAUCACGUGAGUUUUCAUCUGUAUUAUAAAUGCUAAAGAAGGAUUGAAGAAAGAUGGAAGUUUGUGUAUGCAGAAAAAGGAUAAGGAGGAUUUGAUCUUGAUAGCUUUGAUGCAACAGCUCAUAUCCGCAUCGCAUCAAAGGGACCCACACUGCGCAGAGCUCUCCUCUCCACGUGAGAAAAGAGAGAGCUUUUUAAUUGGAAUUGAAAAGUCUCAGAAAAUUAAAACGUGAAAACGAAAAGGAAAGGUAAGAGCGUGAUGGGAAAUUUACGCUAUUCAAUCGGAGCAUCGCGUGAUCAUUCACCCACUUCAGUUAUUGCAAGUCGUAGACGCUUAUUCUAAGGAAGAUAAAAGAGCUCAGUACACUUGGGUCGUCGUGUGGGUGUAGACGGGUUAAUCACAUGAUGAUUCGAAAGCUCCCAGAAGCUUCUCUCCAUGCAAGAUCUACAGAAAACUUGGGAGUGUGCCAAUUUGGAGUCUGUAGGGUUUGAUAUUGCAUUCACGUUAUGAACAUGAACAGAAGUGUCCACAGCAAAGAUUAAAGAUGCAAGAGUGAAAGCUUGGCUAACAUUGAGAUCAAGCACUUCACUGCACUUCACUUCUUCAGUCACCAAAAGUCACUCACAGCAGAAAAAACAAUUGAUACAUUCUCUCAGUGAACUUCACUCAUGUGGGACUCACAUGUAUUGUUACUUGUGUUGAUUUUGCAAGCUCUUGCUAGUGUUUACUUGAUCAAAAGCUAAGUGCAAAGUACCCUAUUCAUGCUAGUUUCAUACUGCAAUAGUUGGAUAAUAUGAGGCCGUAUAGUCACAUAAGAUUUUGAGAAAAUUGAGGUCUUUGCAUUCAUGAAAGGCCAUUCUCAAGAGGAGGUUAAAGGCCCAUUAUAAAAUAAUUUUUUCACAUGAUAUAAAGCUAAAAAAAUUUCGAUAAACUUGCAAGUUAAAGUUGCAAGUACGUUCAUGUAGAAUUUUAUGAAACCUCAUUAGCUAGUUGUGGAACUAAUCUUAAACCUGCAGGGAACUUUAGAGUGUGGUAAUUUUUUUUUUUUAACCAAAAAGUAGUGAAAUCCAAAAGUUUGACAGAUGUUGUGAUGCUAACAAUGUAGGAUUUUUGCACUUGUCUAUCAACCAAUUGUUAAGUAUUUAAUUUGGGUUCUGGGCAAUUUUUUUGGUAUAGUAGCCUAGUGGGAGACAAUCAUUUGUAUCCUUAUCAACUUAUGAGGCAGAGUAUAAAAUAGUAAUGAUAGUGACUCACAAAGUCUGAGAGAUUUUCCUUACCAAAAAAAGUCUGAGAGAUUUAGACCCAAGUUGUUGGUUACUUCAUACACUCCUUUGAUUGGCUUUAUGUCUCAUGGAAAUUGCCUGCUUUCAUAUUCAAGGAAACCAUGUCAAGCUUGACUGCCAUUUUAUUAGAGAGAGUACUUGAAGGUAAAAUAGAGGUGAAGUUGUCGAAACAGAAGCAAGUUCUUUCCCUCUGCAAAGUUGGCAACAUUCAGAGAAUACUUGGCUUGAUAGCAAAACUGAAUUAGGUUGGAAGGAGUGUUAAUAAUACAACCAACUUGCUGGCUUCUUGAAGAGUUUAAUCUCUCCCCAUGAGGAAGGAUUUUGUGGAGUUAGUCUUUCGGCUUUAAUCUUCUUUAAAUUUGGCCUUUCACUUACGUGGCUAUGUGGUCUCUCCUGUCCGAGUAUUUAGUUAUGCAACUGAUAUCAAAGGGGUCGUUUCCUUUUAGCUUUUCAGCGAGCAAACACAAUCAAGAAACUAGCAAGCAUUUUUGGAAUAAACAGUGUGUAUGCAAGCAAUUCUGGCACAUAUAGGCUUUGCAAGAGAGAAGUUACUUGAAAGAGAAAUAGAAAUGAAAGUGGCUUUAAGUGUCCGCUACACAGUGGAGUGUGUAAUUGGAGUACUGUGUGCACAGAUGCUUCAUGUUUCUUUAUAAAAAAAAUUCAGCUUAUGGUUUCAUUGCGCACCUUCAUUUCAAGUAGAACAUGCCCUGUGACAAAUGGAAAUUCCCAUGGCACCGCAAUCAUAUAGUUUGGUUGACACCACAUUACCACAUUUGAGCUGUGGAGGAUGUAAGAUCUUCUGUGUGUUGAGGUUGGUACUCGUUACAACUAUUAGGCUCAAAGGUUGUCCAUAGCGAAAAUGCAUCCAUGCAUUAUCAUCCCUUUUUCAGGGAACCGUUUCAUCUAGUUUCUGGCUUGUGUUAACUUGUGCAUCUCUGGUGCUGUUUCACAGGUAGUCAAUGCAUAAAUUUCUUUUUGGUUAUUUGUCAUCUCAUUUGACUUACAAUUCGCUUGUGGCCCAUUGUUCCCUAGGGAGAAAGAAUUGGCUGCUGUGAAAGAUCAAUGCAGCAGACGUUGAUAUAAUCGCUAAUGAACUUGAGAUCAGUCAGCUUAUGCCAUGUGCUUGAACGCAUUUAUUCUCACUGGCCUGAGCUUUCUAAUAUUGUAUGGUAAAUUCUGAAAACAGCUGGAUCGGAAGGUAGCUGAAAGGACCUUACGUGAGCAUAAAGGUGAUGCUGUUGCUGCAAUUCGUUCCUUGCUUCGAUAAAGAAUUGGUGGCACGACAAAAAGGAUUUGUGAUUUUUCUGAGGACAUACGACUUUCCCAUAACAUUGUCCAAGUAGGAUCAAAAAGCUGUAUGAGUCGUGCUUCUUUUGGGGAUACACGACUUGCUUUCUGGGAGAUUGUUUGUACUCUCGCCGAUUUUGGUUGCUAAUGUUCAGCCCUGCAUUUUUGCCCUUCCAUGUAGUUCAUGCCGGGAAUUUUGGACGGUAUGAAAAUCAUGUACAAUUUCAACGAACAAAAAAUCACAAAUCCACAAGCCUUUGCUCAAUAAUGUGAGGUCGAUUUCUGAUACAAAGCUUGGAAGAGUUGUUGGGUUGAUGCCUGGUUGGAUGGCGAUCCUAAGUCCAAGUUCAUUAGACUGAAUUUAAUUCGAGAAACUAAAGUAUCAAACUUUCUGGAAAAUUGAAGACUUUUGAUUGCAUGUAAAAUUUUGUUGAAGUAGCCCCUGGCACAAUCGGCUAACUAACAACUGUAGAAAAGGCAUGUAUAUCUUCAUUGAUGGAAUUCCAUGGGACGAACUUGGGCUAACGGCGAUUUAGAAGCAGAAUCUGCCUUGAGCUUUAGUAGUGCGCAACCCCUGUUACCAUUGCAAAUCUCUCUGUUCCACCACUAAGCCGUCAAAGUCAAUUUGAUUUGUACAGCUUCAUGAUGAGAAUCUAAUGUUCCCCUAUAAAUGUAUCACAAACAAAUGGAUUGCAAUGCCUAAUGUGCUCAGCCUCCGAUCUCCACAACACUUUGCAACAUAUCUACAAGAUCCUUUGUGACUUUUCCGGUAAAUGCACAAAAGUGACAUACAAUCAUCCUAGAUCCACCCACAAUUGAAUUGCUCAAACGAAGGACAAACAUUCUAUCCUCUCGAAAUGGUCCCAAAAAUCUGGUCGCCAAAUUUCAUGGUCCAGAAGCAGCAAAGCGAGUCGAGAUUGGUUGGCAACAUCAACUUCCUGGCGAAUAGCCAGGUUUGCUUGGACUGUUCACCAAUGUAAUGAAUAGACAAAUCCUCUUGAUGCGCUGGAUGGUUCACGUUUCCCUUGGAGUGCUGUCGCCACCAGCAGAGCGGGAAGCCUGAAAUUGAAGUGCGUUCUGUCUCUGCAAAUCUUUGAAUCUUUCCAGUAUUUCCUGGAACGUUGGUCGGCACUUUGGAUCACUGGUUAGGAGAAAAUGCAGUUCCCACAUCAGUAUCAAAUUGUAACAAAUUGACAAUUUUUGUCCUCACAAAAAGGGGAAAAAAAAAGCUCCUGAAAGACAUCAACUUAUGCCAGAAGAAAAAAAGGUCAUGAAACUGCCUAAGAGAUUCGAGGACUUCAAAUCACGAUGAAUGAUAGGUAAAUUGUAAUGAUGCAGAUAAUUCAUGCCCCUAGCCUGAAAAGUACCCAAUUCAAUAAUUACAUGUUAAAAGCAGCAAGAUAACAUACAAGAGAUGGUAGAAUUCAAAUAACUGACAAACUCUGGAGGCCAAAAGUUCACGGGCCAAGCAGUCUCAGGAAGUUAGGAAUGCUAAGGUUCAAGACACCCGUCUCAAAUUUUUAUCAGCAUGGAAGUAAAAGGUACAUUUAAAAAAUAUCAACAAGAACAAAAAGAGGGCAAUAUAAAAAGGAGCAAAACAAACGCUGACAGGGAAACAGAUGAAAAAAAAACAUUCAGGUGACCAAAAUGUAAAACACUGCACCUACAAGAGGAUGAAUUUGGUUACAUGCUGAAUGUACAUGUAAAAUAUAUCAACAAGAACAAAAUGAGGGCAGUAUAAAAAGGAGCAAAACAAAUGCUCACUGGGAAACAGAUGAAAAAAAAAACAUUCAGGUGACCAAAAUGUAAAAUACUGCACUUAGAAAACAAUGGAUUAAGUUACACGAAUAAGAAGCAGAUACUUACCACAUCCAAAGCCAUAUGAACACAACGUCUCCAAUCCAACUUGGCUGUGUUACUCUGCAGUAAGCGAAACAAACUUCCACUGCAUCAACACACGUAACUGUUAGUUCCAUAGAGACAGGAUAUCGACAGAAAUUACAAUCACUGAAAACCAACAAACCAGACAUUACAACAAACUUUAACAUGAUGCACCAUAUAAUCAAAAAGCCUGCUUUUCAAAAGCAUUGAGAAAGUACCGUGGAAGAAACUCUGUGACUAUGCAGAGGCGCUGAGGUGAAGUUACUGCUCCCAUGAAAAGCAAAACAUUGGGGUGCCGAAGUCUUUUCAUAAGAGACGCCUGCAAGGACAAAAAAAACUGUCAUAUUAAUGGUACUUUACGAGAAGUGAGAAAAAUUGUGGCAACAUCAAAAGAGGUUCUCAGAAAAUGCAUGGUACUACGCAUGCUGAGGGGGAGAGCAUGGACAUAUAACAAUCGCAAAGUCCUAUGAGAAAGUUCCUCAUUUUGAGUAAAACGAGAAGGUAUAAUCCUUUCAUAGACCCACAUGCUAUUACAUCUAUCCAACACAACACAAUUAAUCAUAAUGCAAUGGAUCAAGGCAUGGAAAAUAUAAGGAAAAAUAUCCAUAAUCCUUUGGCAAAAAAAAAGAUCAAAACCUGCUAUCACCACAUGUACUGGAAAUGUUGCGUUGCUGUAUUAGUGGAACAACACUUGAAUUAAAAUUGCCAAGGCCAUCACUAAUAGAGCUGACACCAAUAAACUAUAUCCAUGCUUUGGGGAAAAAAUCCCAGUUGCUACAGAAUAAGCACCAAAAAUUCUAUUCAUUAAAAGGCUUCAGAAUUUUAUAAAAUAAUAAAAUAUGGGCUAGUCAUACAAGUGCAGAGAGAUAGAGAUAAAUGCAUGCAGUUCGAACAUAUUGGUCAAUCCUACUUCAUCUCUUUAUCACACUGGUUUUCAGAAUGUUUUUCCUAAACCAUCUGACUAUGUAGUUCUUAUCAGGAAAAGGAAAAAGAAAAAAAAGAACAAUCAGAAGAUGUAGGGGCAAGUGACACCAUAGAUGGAGUCAUUUGGCACCUCGAUGUUGACUCGUUGCAUCCUGGGAUAAUAUAGAUCACUUUUUGGGCUGAUUAUCAACUAAAAGGCCAACCCAUUAUCCCUCACUGCCUCAGUCUGAAUCUAGAUUAUCAACUGCAAUUACAACCUGUCGAGGAAGGCCCUUAUCAAAAUUAAACCAGCCAGGUCGCAUCCAGCAAUCACUAAACACUAUCGUAACAAUGUUUUCACGAUUUCAAAACACAGAAUAAUACCUACUGUCCAGACAAAUGACACAUUUCUCCUGUGUUUCAUGUCGGCAACAUGAGUAAAAUUCACUCCACCACCAUGCAUUACAUAUUAUAAAGAGAACUUGAAGUCCGUAAGUGAAUAGCAUAAGAGAUAGCCAAACGCUAUUAGAGGAGUGAGAUAAGUAGUACGUAUACCAUGAAGUGAGGUACAUGCAUUUUACAUCAUGACAGCAUGCAUCACUCUGUUAAACUAAAUUUAAGGGGAGUAGAAGAACACACUGAUCCGUACCACAGAGCGUGAUAGACAGUUCCACAAGAACCUGAGAGAGGAGGAACGGCAGACUAAAUAUCAGAAUGAACACUAAGAGAGUACAGUAUUACCAUAAGCAUCGUAAACACACGGAAACAAAUACGACCAAAUGAUCUCAGAAGCAAGAAAAAUCUACACCGCAUGACGAUAAUCAAUUGAGACUGGAUGCAUUUGCAGUGCAUCUCAGCAAAGUUAUUGGGGAAUAUACAUAUAAACAUCAAUAUGGAAGAAUGACAGAUCUGGCUUUUCAAGGACUAUCCAUGAUUUGCAACAAUAGCACUCAUUUUAGAGCCUUUUCGGAGUAUGUCCUACUGGCAUAAUGAAUAGCCAGACCCAAGAUUAAAGAAAAAUUACAGGCGAAAAGCAUACUACUAAUGACUUUUCAGGCAUCGCUGGACUCCUAUAAAAUCCCUUCCGUCACCCCGUCAGACAGAGAAAGAGAGAAAAGAGAAAGCGAGAAAUUACCUGGACAAGCCGGUGCCGGAUCUGGAGCCGGAGGGGGGGGUGUGGCGCGGUGGUUCGCUGUAGAAGAGAGGGAGGGCAGACAGAGAUGCGAGGAGAGACAGAGUAAGGGACGGACGAGUCGGGGCCAGAAGCAGAGGCAGAAGGGCGGCGCGGUUGUUCGCCGGUCGGGAAGAGGGAGGGCAGAGAGAGAGAGGGAGGUCGCACGCCGGUCGGUUGCUCGCGGUCGUCUCGCCGGUAUCCUCCUGGUUCGUCGGUUGCUCGCGGUGGUUCGCCGGUCGGAAAAAGCGAGGGCAGAGAGAGAGAGAGGGAGUUCGUCGGGGAGAGAGAGCGAGGGUAGAGAGAGAGGCGCAAAGAAGAACCCGCGCGACAGAAAACUCUCUCCAGAAACUAUAUAGUACAGGAAAAUUUUCAAAAUGGGCGCCUGAAAUUGUGGGUCCCAUGAGACACGUGUCGUACUCCCACCGCCUUCUUGUUUGCCACACCGGAGUGUCUCACGUACCUAAUAAUAAUGAUUCCAACGCCUCAAGAAAAGACCGCUGGAUAGAUCUGACAAAUGCCUAAAUUGAAUCUAAUGAAACAUAAUCCAAUGUAAAUUGACAUGUUUUUUAUUUUGACUCAUUUUCAUGUAAUAUAAAUUAAGUGACUCAUACUCGACCUCACUCAUAUCUAACUUGACUUAUAAAUAUAAAACACUUUCAUAUUUAACUUAAUUUAAAAAAAAAAAACUCAUGGAUAAAUUUCAAAAAAAGACCUAAAGUAUCAUUAUUUUCUCAAAUAUGAGCUCGAAGUGGACUUUGUUUCAAAUAAAGACUUGAAGUAGCUUUGGUUGUUUCAAAAUAAGGACCCGAUCUUGCUGGUUGCCAACUAACUAAAUUUUUCAACCGAUCGAGGGUAUUUUCGUCAUUUGGCAUUUUCCCUUUUUUUUUCUUUUUUUUAUGGUUCUUCUUCUUCCUCUUUGUCGAUGGCUGCCAGCCAUUGGCGAUGCCCACAAAGGGCUGGGUGAGGGUCGCCUUGCCAGUGAGGGCCAUCCAUGCUAGCCAUAGGCGAGGGAUGGCGUCGCUUGGGCGUGGCAACCCUCACCCAGGGGCCAUCUACAUGGUCGGCUAUGGCUAGCUACUAGUAAGCACAGAUGUGGGUGGCCCUCGCCCAGCCCUUUGUGGGCUUCGCUAAUAGUCGGCCAGCCACUGGCGAAGAGGAAGAAGAAGAUUAAAAAAAAAAAAAGAGGAAAGAAAAAAAGACGGAAAAUGACAAAAGACGAAAAUACCCUUGAUCGCCAAAAAGUUAGGUUCUUAUUUGAAACAAACAUAACCACUUUAGAUUUUCAUUUGAAACAACAUCCACUUCAAGCCUUUAUUUGAGAAAGUGAUGGCACUUUGAGUCUCUAUUUAAAAUAAUGUUCACUCCGCACCCUUAUUUGAGAAAAAGAUGACACUUCGAGUAUUAUUUGGAAUUUUCCCAAAACUCAUACCCAAACAGAAGUGAGAAUAAAUUAUGAACUUAUUUAAUAUAUUAUUUUGAGAUAAUUAAAAAAAAUAGGCUUUUAACCCAUUUUAAUAGAUCUAUCAUCGGAUAAACAUGAUAUCCCGACAUUUUUGGAAAUUUGUCCCAAUUAACAUUGCAUAAACAUGUAAGAAGGAUUGGGACAUCUCCCAAAAAUCAUGUAAUCGACAUUGCAUUGGUUGAGAAAAGAGCAAGAAGAACAUAAAUUAUUCGUUCAAUCCUACUUGAUUCAAACGGGAUGUUGACUGCCUUUGGGGAAGGACAUAUGUGAAACGCAAUAAGCAAAAUACACAGAAGACUAGUGACUAAUAGUCACUAAUUAAGUUAUGGAAAAACACAGAAUGGAAAGAUUGUGUUGGAUUCCAAAAAAUUGAUAAUGUUCAGAUACCGUAGAAAGAAAAAGGCAUCUUUUGUGUCAAGAACCGCUCUCCUUUCUCAAGAUAAAGUCGACAACAUCCUCCACAGUGUCUACGACCUGCAUAGGUAAAAAUAAAAGAGUUCAAUUGGGGUGAGCGAUUUUCAGAUGCACUUUUAACCUUGGAAAAUUUGCAGAGAAGACAAAUACCCCAUAAAAGUAACUUUCAAUUGGGCAUAUUUUGGAAAUAUUGACAUUUUGCUAGGCUGAAGAGGGAAAAGGUUCAGUCAUGUUUCACCCAACCAAUUUAGAAUUGACCGAUCACCCAGAGUAUAGCAAAUCAAGGUAUGUAAGUAUGGGAGGAUUAUCCACGCUGACAGCUCAAAACCACUUGAGGCCAUGUUUGGCUCAUUGCCCUGGAAUCAUGAAAAGGAAUCUCAAUCUAAGCAAUCAAAUUCCUAGAUGUGGGGUUCAUUCUCUAUUGUUUGGUUUCAAUUUACAAAUGAAGGGAGAAAUUUCUUAUGUGAGAUGCAAAGUGAGGUAAAAACAUGUCAGAAAUGGGGUGUAAAAUAUUUCUCCAUUCCACAUAUCCAAAGUGGCUAAGGAAAAACUAGGGAUAGAAACAGAAUGAAGAACCACAUACGAUCCCGCAACAAUUUCCCGAUUAUUGUCAUCUAAAAUGAUCAUACAGUUCACACAAUCAUUUCACAAACAGUUCACACAAUCAUUUCACAAACACAUUACAUACAGCUCCUCAAAAUCUCGAGUAAAGCAUUUCACGCAUAAUCUGCAACAAUGAAGAUAAAGCCAUUCACGCGUAACUCCAAACUACUUCACAGCCGUUACCUCAAGCCAUUGUGAUAUUCUUGUCCUUAUUGUGUUUUGAGUCAAAGACCCAAUCACGAGAACAAAUGGAGUGACAGCAACUCAACCAAGUGUGUUAAUGGAACUUUAUAUCCCCACCCAAGCCAAUGUGAUGCUCGUAGUUGGAGACGGGACCAGACAAGUUUCAUAAUAGCAAGAAAGAGAAAUAAUCUCACCUUGUAGAGGAAUGUGAGGACCAUGGAAUCAAGAGGCACGCGAAACUCCCAUGGAAGGAUUUGAAGAUGAUGAAUAUAGAGAGAGAGAGAGAGAGAGAGUUCUGGCUUUCUAGGAUUUAAAGAUUUAUGAAGCUCAGAAGUACUAUGCGUGUUGGGUUUGUGAAUGUUUUUUCCUCCUAGGAAUCCCAGUACCACCUCUACCUGAGCAAUCUAGUUCUGCAUUAGGAGUAUCCGUUAACUAGGCACUUUGAUUCUAUGAUCAUAAAUCCAUCCAAAAAUGAGCUGCAAUGGCAUUCCACUUCCCGUUUAUUACUCCAAGGUGAACCAAACAAGGCCUAAGUGAUUACAUGAUGUACUAUACUUUUGAAUGCUUUCAUGGUGGAAUCAAUGAUCUGCAGUCUCAACCAUGACUUUCCAUAGGAUCACGUAUCUAAAAUCUCUAAACCAAAGAACCUACCAUCAACUCACCCCAACGUACAUGCAAGGAGAGAUGGGAGAGACAGACAGAGAAAUGUCUGGGUUUUGUUAAGAGUACGAAUACCUACCACGUCCAUGGGAAGUUCUGAAUGAUUAUCUUUUCCCUUGAAUGCCCCAGUCCUUGUUAAUAUAGAAAACCAAGGAUCUCCUGCCUGAAGGAGUUGUUAUCAAAACUGGUGAUUGUGUUCAGAAAUAAAAUUACUGAUAUGAUAAAAUACAAUUCUCAGUAUGAAAUAUACCCAUUGUGCGCCUCUAAUGUUGAUUUUGGGUUAUCUCCUAUCAUGCAUAGUGUUCUGAAACAACGAAUUCCAGAGUAUGUAUUAUUCUCCACAUUCAAAUUGCUCAACAAAGAUGGCAUAAGAUUCCUUAACACGGUCUCAGCAUUUCCAUAGACAAAUGGAUUUGGCCUCCCAUACAAUGUAUACGCCAGCGGAAUUGGAUGUAUUCUGCAGAACAAGGACAGGUAAACAAUGCAUAACACAAGAUUGAAGAUUAACGCAUGUCACUUUGCUGCAUUGAGGUAAACUAGGCCCACACAAGGAGCUUAUAGGCCUUUCUUUAAUUUUUUGUGGAGAAUAUUAGAUCAAACUCCAUGUAGAACUAAAUAUUGAGAAGCUGAAACCUCACUAUCUUACCUGUUAUAGAUUGCUUCUAACGCAAUCCUGAAAGCUCCCAUACCGAGACGUCCACCAGGAAAAGUAGCCUGCCUUUGCACUUUGUCAGCUAGUCAUCAGCCAGUCUUUAGUUCCACCAAGGCUUCAAAAACUCAAGAUUGCUGCUGGCGUCACAAAUGGCAUAGCUUACCUGGUAUUCGAGGUCAUUAUUUGCAAAAAACAGGUGUGGUUGCUUUCCAGCCUCCCUUCUAGGAAGCCCCCCAGUUCUUAAUAUGUCGCAGAGCACCUAAACCCAAACUUGAGUAUCACAAAAUUUUUUUAAUAUACACAGACAGACAGACAGAUAGAUGAUGACACUCCAUUUUAUCACAUUUUCCAAACUAGAUGUCAGCACCCACUAGACUUUUAAAGAGAUGAUGACUAAAGUUGCAGAGCAGUUACUGAACAACCAAACAAAGCAUCGUGUCUUUUGAUAAUCAGUUCAAAGAUUUAGAACUAGCGUGAUGAAAAGCCCAGUAUGGACUCGACAGCUAAAUUAGAUAAUCUAAGAAAGGACAAGAUCCUUUAGGGUGGUCACAACCUAGAUAUCUCUGCUCCAAUCAACAGAAUCACUGACAACAAAUGCUGCCUGAACUCUCUGUGUUUGCACAGCAAUUUUAUUCUUUCCUAUCAUAUUAGAAGUGCUAUUCUGGUCAAUGUCUGGCUUAGUUGUCCAUCUCUUGUACGGUGCUGGUGGAUCAAUGGCAUCAAAGUAGCUAAUAUACUCAUCAAUUGACAGAACGUUUCUGCAUAGAAAAGACACGAGCAGAAAGAGGGUCAACUGGAGGAAAGAGAGAGAGAGAGAGAGAGAGAGAGAAUCAAGUUGUUGGAGUUCUCAUUCUAGAUGAAACAGUGUUGAACACAGACAACUGAAGAUUUAUGGAGAGGACUUCUCUGCGAUUACUCGAGUCCCUAAGAACUUGAGUGAUUUUUAUUCACUUUGCUUGCUCCUAUGUAUUACCUAGACAUCUUCAAUAGCAAUUUUAUUAGAUACAUAACUUUAUCCUUAUAACUUUUGAAAGCUUUCAGUAAACUUGACACCAUAUACUUUCAAAAGCUUUCAGUAACCUUGACACCAUAUAACUUUUGUCGAGCUAUUGUUGUUUAAAACUUUUGUGUAGUCUUUAGAUAGCAAGGGUAUGUGUGGGCUUACUUUUAUUUCUCUUUCUAGUGAUCUGCCUUAACCAUUGCUAGCAAGCCUUUUUAUUUUUUGGAACGCAUUGAGCUCCCUGUCUACUAAGCUUCUAAAGUAGUUUUGGAUGGUUGUGCAACCCGAAUUAUACUUGUGGCAUCUGUCUUUUCCUGUUCUAAUUAUGAGGGUUGCUGAUGGCCUAGAAGUUAUGAACGAUUGCCAGAUGCACAAAUUUAUUGAUUAUGUUUGGUUGUGGCAGUGUUAUAUCAAUUUACAAAUUGAAAACGCCCCACAAUAUGUAGCAUUUUGGUAUCUCAGGUUUGUUUUUGGAAGGUGGUGUGAUUGAUUGAUCUCUUGCAUCGAAUAACAGGGAGAAGUGGAUCUAGCUUGUAAUACUCUAGCUGACCACUUAAGCUUGAAGUAACAUAGAGUGUGAUCACUAAUUCGAGGAAAUUUUAACUCUGGCUAGGUGCUACAAUGGGCAAGAAUUUAUGUGGCUAACUGAGCAUUAGUACAUGCAUUGGCAUGCCAAAAUGGUUUUGUUAUGAGGGCGUUUUGAGCAACUGAUGAUGUUGAAUUUAUCAAAGAAAAUAAGAAAGUACUUUAGGUUCGUUUAAGUAAAUCAACUAACACCCUUCAAUCUCCCAAUAUAGAGAUGAGGUUUUGUGAUGAGGUAAAAUGUGUAGAAAGACUAGAAGGAGUUGUUUUUUUAAUCAAUUAAAGAUAGAGGCAGUUAAUUGUAGUGUGAAGUGAAAAGAUAUGUUUCUACAUUGCUUAUCAGAAGUGACUUGUUACUGUUGAUUAUGCUUUUUUGCGGUCAUCAUGUGUUCUAGAUGUUGAUUGCUUGUAUAUUUAGAUCAUCAUACUGCAGGGGCAUUGGUAAUUCCAUCAUUUUUGGUUGCUGGUGGAACUUCCUUUUAGUAGAUCUAAGACCUCUCUCUAUUUGGCAACUUCCUUGGAGUGAAAUUUUCCUCUGUUUUUCUUAAUUUCGUGAUGAGACACAAAAGUGGUCAGAAAACAUUUUGUGGUGCUUGACACAUUAAUUUAGCAGGGCUCUCAUCAGCCAGCUCUUUAGUUCCUGCUAUGAAAUCUGAGGACGAAUUUGGUAGAAUUAUUGAUUUCUUUUCCAACUUAGUAGUUAGCACUGCAUAUCAGUAACUAAAUUUGGUUUUUAUUGUGUUUUGAUGACAAUCUUUUUCCUGUGACAGUUGGCUCUGAUGAAGCAAAAGAGGCGUUGAAGAAACUUGGUGCUGAAGAAGUGUUCACUGAGAGCCAAUUAGGAGUAAAGAAUGUCAAGAGUCUACUGGAACCGUCCAUCCAUUAACCCAUUCUACCAUAUUUUUAUGCAUGGACACAUCCAAUUUUGGCCAUUGGCACUUGAGUUCUUUAUUUACAUCUUAUUGACUUUGUACUAGGGUGAUCUAAAAGAACCUACCCUUGGAUUAAACUGUGUUGGUGGCAAUGCUGCUUCUUCGAUGAUGAAAUUUUUGAGGUGCAACGAGUGUUAAAUUUGUGUCAAGUGCUUCCCUUAUCUUUCUGAAGAGAGCUGAUUUAGCUUUGUUCUCUAGCGGAGAGGAACCACGGUGACAUGGUGGGGUGUCUAAGAAACCAGUUACAGCGUCAACUUCAUCUUUUAUCUUCAAGGUAAAUUAAGAAGCAGCGAACUAAAAUUUCUACCUAUGGUUAUGAGGUUAUUUCAGUCCAGCCUUACAAUUUGACUUGUCUAUGUUUCGGUCUUAGUCUUGGCAAUGCCCUAUAGUUUUAUUUUUUUGUUUAAAUUUGGCCCAAAAUCUCGAUUUCAGUAUAUGAUGCAACCAAAUUUGAGCGAAAAAAAAAAUUCUCCCUAGAACUGAGACUAAGAGGAAUGUAUAAACUAAUGCAAUAAUGGUUCUUAUGGUUUGCAAUAACUUUCUUUGAGGGGAUAAUUGGAUCAGUUCAAAUGAUAUAACAGAGUGCAAAAGAACGAUAGAUCACUUGCUGGAACUAGUGCAUGAUGGUAAGUUAAAAUACGAGUUCGUCUUUUGUAAUAACUACUCAAAUUGCUAUAUUUGGGUCUCCAUAUCUUUAUAGUAAUUUUCAAUAGUAUUCAUCCUCAAGAUAGUGUGUUUGGAUUUUGGUGCAUACGAAUUCCUCCAAAACUACAAGACCGAGCUUGUUCCUUUUAGUGAUUUCCAUGUUGCACUGGAUAAAUCACCGGGGAAACAUGGGAGCCAUCCUAAGCAAGUCCCGAAGUUCUCAGGCUACUGAAUAUUUAAGGGUGGUAAGAAGAUGGAAAAAUUCUGCGUCAUAUCCUUCAGACGAUCAGCCUGUUUUGAAGUUCUGAGGCGCCGGAUCAACCAGGCACAAAAACUAUGUAUCUUUUCCCUUCUUAUUAUUUUCUCUUUACAUAAGUGAUGUAUCUUUUCCGUUGAGGUAAUUUCAUUGCUGCUUAUUUUCACCAAUUUCCAUUCUGAAUUUGUUUUGCAUCAUGCCAUCCAAUCUCAAACUAAUCUCAUGCGACAUGAGGUCCAUCUACUACGGCUGAAUUUGGAGAUCCAAACAUCGCCCCGUUUGGUAAGGGUCCAUAAAGGUUUCAGAUUUGCCAAUUACAAUUCUCAUAUACACGUAACAAAGAACAUCGGGAUACUUUCCCAAAAAUCAUGUAAUCAACAUCGCAUGCAUUGAGAAAAGAGUAAGAAGAACCAUAAAUUAUUCAUUUGAUCUAACCUAAUUCAAAUGGGAUGUGGACUGCCUUCGAGGAACAUCAUUCAUACAUGAUGAGCAAAAUCAAUAGAAGACUAGCUAAUGGUAGUUACUUUUUAUGAUAGGGAAAACACAGAAUGGAAGAUCGUACCAGCUUCCAAAGAAGUGACAAUUGUUCAGAUACCACAGAAAGAAAAGGCAUCUUUUGUUUAAGUGAUGUCAAGAACCGCACUCCUUUCUCAAGAUAAAGUCGACAGCAUCCUCAACAGUAUCCACGACCUGCAUAGGUAAACAAAAAAGAGUUUGAUCAGGAUGAGUGAUUUUCGAAUUCAUUUUUAACCUUGGAAAAUUUAGGGAGAAGACAAAUUCCCCACAAAAAAUGUGCACGGUUUUGAAAUACUGACAUUUCACAAGGCUGAAUAGGGAAAGGGAUCGCUCAAUCAUGUUUCAUCCAACCAAGUUAGAAUUCACAGAUCACCCAGAGCAUAGCAAAUCAAGGUAUGUAAGUAUGGGACACCUCAAACACUUAAGGCCAUGUUUCAUGCCCAUGCAAUUAUGAAAAGGAAUCCCGUUCUAAGCAACCAAAUUCCUAGGAGUGGGUUUUUUUUUUCCCUUUGUUGUCCGGUCUCAAAUUACCAGUGAAGAGAGAAAUGUCCAACGUGAGUUGCCAAAUGAGGUUAAAACAUGUCAGAAAUGGAAUGUGUCUCCAAUCAACAUGUACAAAGCGGAGGAUAGAAACAAAGCGAAGAACCACAUAAGAUCCCUCAACAAUUUCCCGAUCAUUGUCCUCCAAAUGAUUUUACAGUUCACACAAGCAUUUUUACGAACCGAUUAUAUAAAACUCAUCAAAAUGUUGCAAGUCAAGCAUUUUUCGCACAAAAUCCACAGCGAUGAAGAUGAAGCCAUUUUUAUUAACUUCAAACUACUGCACAGAAGUUACCUUAAGCCAUUAUUCAUAUUUCUUAUCCUCUUUGUGUUUUGAGUCAGAGACCAAUUACAAGAACUGCAAAUGGGGUGACAGCAACUCAGCCGAGUUGGUAAAUGGAACUUUACCCCCCCCCCCCCCCCCCCUCCCCCACAAGAAAAAAAAAAGCCAACAUGAUGCUUGUCGCUGAUGUCUCCAUAAAGAAUCCAAACAAGUUUCACAAUGGCAAGAGAGAGAAAGGAUUUCACCUAGUAGAGGGAUGUGAGGGUUAUAGAAUCAAGAGGCAGACGAAACUCACGUGGGAAGGAUUUGAAGAUGAUGAACGGAGGGCGGGAGAGAGAGAGAAAGUUCUGAUUUUGUAGGAUUUAAAGAGGAUGAAGCUCAGAAUACUGAGUGGGUAGAGUUCACAAAUGUUUUUCUCUUCUAGGAAUUCCAGUACCACCUCUACCUGAGCAAUCCAAUUCUGCAUUUUAAAGAGAAUCCAUAACCUAGGUAAUUUGAUUCCGCAAUCAUAAAACCAUCUGAAGAUGAGUUGCAAUGGGAUCUCAUUUCCUUUUCUUACACCAAAGUGAACCAAACAAGGCCUAAGUGAUUGCGCAAUGUACUAUACUUCUUAAUGUUUUCCAGGUGGAAUCUAAGAUCUGCAUCUCAACCAUGACUUUCCACUAGGAACACAGAUAUAAAAUCUCUAAACCAAAGAAGUGAACAUGCUGGAAUGAACACAACUUGCACAUGUAGGAACCUACCAUCAACUCACCCCCAACAUACAUACGAGGAAGAGUGAGAGAGACAAAGAUGUGUAAAUUUUGUUAAGAGUACAUAUACUCACCAAGUCAGCAAGGAACUCUGAAUGAUUAUCUUUUCCCUUGAAUACCCCAGUCCUUGUUAAUAUAGAAAACCAAGGAUCUCCUGCCUGAAGGAGUUGUUGGCAGUAUUGGUGAUUACGUUUCAAAAUAAAUUCACUGAUAUAAUAAACUAUAAUUUUUGGUAUGAAAUAUACCUGCCGUGCACCUCUAAUGUCGAUUUUUGGAUUAUCUCCUAUCAUGUAUAGGGUUUUGAAACAAAGAAUUCCAGAGUUUGUAGUAUUCUCCACAUCUAGGUUGCUUAACAAAGAUGGCAUAAGAUUCCUUAACAUUGUCUCAGCAUUUCCAUAGACAAAUGGAUUUGGCUUCCCGUAUGAUGUAUACGCCAGAGGAAUGGGAUGUAUUCUGCAGUACAGGGACAAGUAAACAAUGCGCAACAUAAGAUUGAAGAUUAAUGCAUGUCGUUAUGCUGCAUUAAGGCAAAUUAGGCCUACACAAGGAUCUUAUGGGCCAAUCUUUAAUUUUUUGUAGAGAUUAUUAUAUCAAACUCCAUGCAGAACUAACC
This 77068-nucleotide long non-coding RNA is filed under the name Eucalyptus grandis. RNAcentral describes it as "long non-coding RNA (EGRA_LNC000990)". The record is from RNAcentral. Lineage: Eukaryota; Viridiplantae; Streptophyta; Magnoliopsida; Myrtales; Myrtaceae.